This 74708-nucleotide long non-coding RNA is filed under the name Triticum aestivum (bread wheat). RNAcentral describes it as "long non-coding RNA (TAES_LNC024411)". The record is from RNAcentral. Lineage: Eukaryota; Viridiplantae; Streptophyta; Magnoliopsida; Poales; Poaceae.
UACGAGUAAUGUCUUUGUGACAAGAACUUUCUUUGUCUUUUAUUCCCAUGUUUGAACUAGUAUAGGUCGGGGUUACACAUUAUGGUGCACAUCACUUUAUUUAUCAUCGUUACAUUGAACGCUCAUUGACUAAACAACGAUGAUCCAUCCAUCUUGUAUUGUAGGUCUUCAUUUCAUUGGCCACCGAUGCUUGUAAGACUAGUCUCAUAUGGUUGUUGUUGUGGAUAUGGUUGUUGAGGUUGGUGUGGUUGCUGGGGUUGCUGGGAAAUUGUUUGUUCUGGUUGCUGGGAUAAUUGUUGUUGGGGCUGUAGAAAUGGUUGUUGUGGUUGUUGGGGUAAUGGUUGUUGUGGUUGCAGGAUGGAUGGUUGUUGGGGUUGCUGGGGUUGGGGCUGGGGAAAUGAUUGUUGUGAUUGUUGGGGUUGCUGGGGAAAUGGUUGUUGCGGUCCUAGGAGGAAUGAUUAUUGUGGUUGUUGGGGGAAUGGUUGUUGNNNNNNNNNNNNNNNNNNNNNNNNNNNNNNNNNNNNNNNNNNNNNNNNNNNNNNNNNNNNNNNNNNNNNNNNNNNNNNNNNNNNNNNNNNNNNNNNNNNNNNNNNNNNNNNNNNNNNNNNNNNNNNNNNNNNNNNNNNNNNNNNNNNNNNNNNNNNNNNNNNNNNNNNNNNNNNNNNNNNNNNNNNNNNNNNNNNNNNNNNNNNNNNNNNNNNNNNNNNNNNNNNNNNNNNNNNNNNNNNNNNNNNNNNNNNNNNNNNNNNNNNNNNNNNNNNNNNNNNNNNNNNNNNNNNNNNNNNNNNNNNNNNNNNNNNNNNNNNNNNNNNNNNNNNNNNNNNNNNNNNNNNNNNNNNNNNNNNNNNNNNNNNNNNNNNNNNNNNNNNNNNNNNNNNNNNNNNNNNNNNNNNNNNNNNNNNNNNNNNNNNNNNNNNNNNNNNNNNNNNNNNNNNNNNNNUGCAGGGGGAAUGGUUGUUGGGGAAUUAUUUGUUCUGGUUGCUGGGGGAAUGGUAGUUGGGGCCGGGGAAAUGGUUGUUGGGGUUGCUGGGGGAAUGGCUGUUGUGGUUGCAGAGGGAAUGAUUGUUGGGUCUGGGGAAAUGGUUGUUGUGAUUGCUGGGAAAAUUGUUGUUGGGGUGUGGGAAAUGGUUGUUGCGAUGGAUAUGGUUGCUGUGAUGGAUAUGGUUGUUGUGGAUAUGGCUGUUGUAGAAAUGGUUGUUGUUGAUAGGAAAAUGAUUGUUGAGGUGAUUGUAAUUCUUUGUUGCUAGGGUUUAGCUGCCUAGCGGCAGUGGCGAUGUUCAUCGCCAUGGCAAGGAGGACAAAGAUGAGGAAGGUCUUCAUGUUGGAUUUGUGGUUACUACUGCUUGCUUGCUUUUGAUGCUUGUGGUCUAGGUGUGUGAAGUUUGGAUGAUGAAAUGUGGUCUUGGUGGUGCAUGUGUAUUUAUAGUUUUCAUGGCAUGGCUUGCUUUCUUCUUCCCACUCGCUUUUUGAAAAAGUGCACCAAUGCUUAUCCAACUAAUCAUUUGAUUUGUUGUGUUUGGUGCAACUACUUACUAGCAAGAUUUUGGAUUUUCAUGAUAGUUGCUUUUUGUUGAAAUCAUCUGGUUGUAAGGAAUGUUGGAUAAUGACCAAUGACUCAUCUUCUUCACUUUACACUGCAAACAUUGAUCUAAAUUAUAUCCUUUUUUGAAAUUUAGUUUGUGAAGCUCUACAUGUUGUUAGGCUUAUCUAUAUUGGCAUAGCUUGAGUGGAAUUAAGUUUGUAAGCUUGUGAGCGUCAUUAUGAUGGAUCACACUAUUAAUGUGAUGAUUGUACUACAAAUUAUCUUUCCAAAACUAAUUUUAUGUUUUUUCCCAAUAUGAUUCUAAGACGGAUAACCAGACAUGACUCAUCAAAUAACAAGAUAAACCGAGUAGCAAAUUGGGGUUAUAAGUUAUAACAUGGACUUUUCUCUAAGAUACACUAUCUUGUCUUGCAUGCUCUGUGAAUUUGAAAAGCAUCUACUAAUUUAUAUGCAAUUGAAACAAAAGUAGACCAGAAAGAUAAGCAAUGAAAUGAGAAUACUAUUAUGUGAAGCUCUACAUGUUUGGCAAGCAAUAAGAUACUGGAUACAUCUAUAUCUUCAAUCCUGACAAUUUUUCUCAUCCCUAUCAACUCUUUAUUGGCUGCCUUUACUGUAGUCAUCCCUUAAAUAAAAAUCACUUAAAGAUAAGUUUGGGAGCUAGUACCAGCAUCUAUCAUGUACAAGAUAAAAAACUAAGGCACAUAUAGUAGUCUAUUGACUAUAUUUAAUUUCAUGUGAUGUGAAAGCAUGUGGAGUAUAAGUUGGUUAAAUAUAAAAUUGUCCUUCAUACCAGUAGGGAAAGAAUAUGCAGUAUAAAGAUUAGAGCAUUAUUAAUAUGCUAUUAAAUGCUACAGGAUAAUCGAUAGUUCAAGUUAAGAACAACAAUAGCAUUCCAACUUUUGUUUUGUGCAAGUUAAGAACAUGCUAACAAAGUAACCUAAGCAAAUAAGUGCAACACCUUCACCUAUAAGGAAAUUUUGAAACUACACAAAAUGACCUAUUGUAAAGAAGGAAAAAAAUCUAAAGGUGAAUGAAAAGCAUGUUAAGUACAUUCAGGAUUCGGUUAUGCCUUCAUGGAUAACCUUUUAGAUGGUGACUUGUCAACCUUGAUGUGUGUCGGCAUGGAACGAGGACAAGAAGACAUCGUUACGUCGUACUUUGGGAAUUUCAUCAAACUGGUUGUGUGCGGGAACAAAUAUUUGUCGCCUCCCUGCUCAAAUCUCUCUUCAUGUCACUAAAUCCGACACUCCACCUACCAAAAUCAGCUGCAAGCCAGGGACAAUCAACAGGUUUCUCCGCCCGUAGCAUCUAUCACCAAAAGAAGUUCAGACUAUAGUCUUGUAGUUUAAAAUUUUGUAAUAACAAGCACUACUAGGUUGCUCUUGUUUGUACGUCUUCAUUAUGUACAACCCAUGGAACUUAAAAUGCAUGGGUCAUUCUUCGGUAUAUACAACCAAUGCAACCAAACAUGCAUUGGGCUUUUCUUUGUACAUCUUCAGGUUCUACAACCAAUGCAACAAAAAAUCCAUUGGGCAGUCUUCCAUUCUAGUCGGGCACCAAUAGUUAAACGAGGAGCUAAACAGUGUUGGAGUCUAAAACUACAUACAAUCAUGAAGCAGAGAGAUGCGACUUGGAAGUUGUGCUCCUGUGAGCUCGUAUUUUUGAAGAAAAAAGUAAUAUUUGUAUUUUGAAGUGGGAAAAAGUCCUAAAAAGGGAUGUUUUGCGGGUUAUAACUUACUAUUUUUGAGUCCUGGGCUGCAGGAAGGUCGUAAAAAAUCAAUGUGUUUUCCCAUUCAUGCAUGUUUCUUGGGUUAUAGGUCACGCUUUUGGUGUCCUAGGGAGAUCACUUCCCCAGUUGGGAACAUUAGGUGAUGAUUUUUAGCAAAACUCAUUGUUUUAGCCUAACUAGUUUCGAGGAUUGGUGGACAAGAUUAUCAUGGAACAAAGUGACAACCUUCCUUUUCUUCAUGCCUAAUAUAAACUUAGCAGUCAACUAAAAGUAACUAGCGAUAUCACAGAAUGUUUUUUUGUCAAAAGUAGAUACCACUUCAGGAUUCAACUCGGUUAGUUCAAUCAUAGACAUGUUAAGAGCAGGAUUUACAACUAACUGCAUAGGGAACAUCUCCUUUUAUCGCCCACUAUCUGUCUAUGCACUUUGGUUUUCCCGUAGCAGCACACAAAGCACUUUGUUAGUACCAAUAAUGUGCUCCAACUCUACACAUUAAUCAUCUUGAAUUCUUCUACUGAUGUCGAACAAUGUUAUAUCUUGAAUUCUUCUAACGAGUUCAGAUUAUACUACAUGGGCAAUUUAUCUGGUCCCUGAGAUGCAAGGUCGAUGAACAAUCGCUUCGUCUGAUGAUGAGGGAUUGUUUUUGCCUAAGAAACCAAUACAUGUAACUUCGACGCCAGAUUAAUAAUUGGUAAAACCCAAAUAAAUUAGAUCACGAGCUAAACCAUUUAAUUUUGUAUGCAUUUAAACUUUUGAUACAUAUGAGCUUGUUAAGAUGUUCGCAUAAACACCAUGGUGAUUUGAAGCAAGACAAAGUAAACUUGAACCGCUUGAGCCACUGACUUAAUAAGAACCUCCUUUCCCGUGGCAGAGAUCGUUUUUAAUACAUCCACUCACUUUGGUUCUCUUAUGAAAUCUAGAUUCCUUCGCUAAGGCUAUUGCUCCAGUAUUGUCACAAAAGAUUUUUGUUGGACCCGAUGCACUAGGUAUGACACCUAGAUCGGAUAUGAACUCCUUCAUCCCGACUCCUUCAUUUGCUACUUCCGAAGCAGCUAUGUACUCCUCUUCACAUGUAGAUCCCUCCACGACGCUUUGCUUGAAACUGCACCAACUGACAGCUCCACCAUUCAAUAUAAAUACGUAUCCGGUUUGUGACUUAGAGUCAUCCAGAUCAGUGUCAAAGCUUGCAUCAACGUAACCAUUUACAACGAGCUCUUUGUCACCUCCAUAAAUGAGAAACAUAUCCUUAGUCCUUUUCAGGUAUUUCAAGAUGUUCUUGACCGCUAUCCUAUGAUCCACUCCUGGAUUACUUUGGUACCUCCCUGCUAAACUGAUAGCAAGGCACACAUCUGGUCUGGUACAUAGCAUUGCAUACAUGAUAGAACCUAUUGCUGAAGCAUAGGGAAUGACUUUCAUUUUCUCUCUAUCUUCUGCAUUGGUCGGGCAUUGAGUCUAACUCAACUUCACACCUUGUAACACAGGCAAGAACCCUUUCUUUCCUUGAUCCAUUUUGAACUUCUUCAAAACUUUAUCAAGGUAUGUGCUUUGUGAAUGUCUAAUUAACCGUCUUGACCUAUCUUUAUAGAUCUUGAUGCCCAAUAUAUAAGCAGCUUCACCGAGGUCUUUCAUUGAAAAAUUCUUAUUCAAGUAUCCUUUUAUGCUAUCCAGAAAUUUCGUAUCAUUUUCGAUCAACAAUAUGUCAUCCACAUAUAAUAUCAGAAAUGCUACAAAGCUCCCACUCACUUUAUAAAGGCUUCUCCAAAAGUCUGUAUAAAACCAUAUGAUUUGAUCACACUAUCAAAAUGUAUAUUCCAACUCUGAGAGGCUUGCACCAAUCCAUAAAUGGAUCACUGGGCUUGCACACUUUGUUAACACCUUUUGGAUCGACAAAACCUUUUGGUUGCAUCAUAUACAACUCUUCUUUAAGAUAUCCAUUAAGAAAUGCAGUUUUGACAUCCAUUUGCCAAAUUUCAUAAUCAUAAAAUGCGGCAAUUGCUAACAUGAUUUGGACAGACUUAAGCAUCGCUACGGGUGAGAAGGUCUCAUCAUAAUCAACUCCUUGAACUUGUCGAAAACCUUUCGCAAAAAGUCGAGAUUUGUAGACAGUAACAUUACCAUCAUCGUCAGUCUUCUUCUUGAAGAUCCAUUUAUUCUCUAUGGCUUGCCGAUCAUCGGGAAAGUCAACCAAAGUCCACACUUUGUUCUCAUACAUGGAUCCCAUCUCAGAUUUCAUGGCCUCAAGCCAUUUCGAGGAAUCUGGGCUCAUCAUUGCUUCCUCAUAGUUUGUAGGUUCAUCAUGGUUGAGUAACAUGACCUCCAGAACAGGAUUACCAUACCACUCUUGUUGGGAAUAUGACUACCAGGUAUGACCCGCCCAGGAGGGGCCGGGUCAAUCCUAAUGGCGGGUUACUAAAAGAAGCUCAGUGAAUAUACAAGGCGAUAGUUUAUUAUAAGACUUGUAGUAGGACCAAGCCCAAAGGCGGGUUAAGGCCCAUAAUUGUAAACCGCCAUGUAUAAGAAAGAAUUGUAAAGAAAGGCAUGUAAGAGAAGUCACCGAGCCGGGCACGUUAUAUGAGCCGGCUGGGACUCUGUAGGCCGCCAGGCGUCAACCCGUGUAUAUAAGGGGACGACCCGGUGGCGGCUUAGGGCAAGUAACAUCAAAUCGAGAGCCAUGCAUAGCGUAUUUGCUCCCUGGUCAUCGAAACCUAGCAAUACCACAUCAACUGGACUAGGCUUUACCUUCACCGUAGGGGGCCGAACCAGUAUAAACCUUUCGUGUCCUUUGUCCCGAUUAACCCCUUUAAGCUUCCUAGUUGCGAUGGCUCCACGACUAAGUCCUUUCAGUAGGACAUCUGCCGUGACAAUUCCACGACAGUUGGCGCCCACCGUGGGGCCAUCGCACGAUGGAUUUGAGUUCUUGAAGGGCAGCUUCCAAGGGCUCAAGGGAUACGCUGUGGGCCGGAUAACCAAAAGUUGUCACAGCAAGCUCUACAUCGACGACGCAGGCUGGGGCCCCGAGGCUGGCUCAAUCGAGUACGGGUACCGGGUCCCCUUCGGCGGAAUCCACGUCUUCAUCGGCCGGAUCGGCGAGCCGGGCCCUGAGUCGGACAUCUGCACCGACCUCAUCGAGAUGGCUCAGCGAGUGAGACCUGCCCGGGCUCAACCUGCCGUGAGGCGUGCCUUCGUGGGUUGCAUCCAUGGAGGGGAAUUUUCUGAAGGAUCGAUGGACGGUGGUGAGACAGUCGUUUGCUCUAGCAGUGAGUCGUCCAUAGGCGAGACAGAUUCUUUGUAUCAGCUACAAGAUGGCGGGCUUGGGGGCUGUUCCGAUGGCAGUAGUAUUCCGGACCCCUCUGAGCCGCCGAAUCGAGCCGGAGUCUUCAUGGCUGGCACUCAACCUGGUUAGAAUUCUAUGGCUGCGGCAGCAAUAACCACUGGGUCAGCAGGGGCCGGGUCAGGAGACCCCGCGCGCCCACCGGCUCAGGUACUAAUGGACCUCAUGGAUAGGAUGACGGCCCUGUUGACUGCUGUGGUUGAGCCGGCAGAUAAGGCUCAGCAUGACGCAGAGGUAGCACAGCUACACAGAGAGGUAGCACAGGCCAAGGAAAAUUUAGUGGCGGAAGAUGUCAGGAUGGCCGCGGAACGGGCGGCUCUGGAUGCACGGGCUCGGCAGCUUCAAGCGAAGACUUUCUGGCUCUCGGUGGAUCUGAACGCAUCAAACGAGGUCACGAGGAGAAGGCACCAGAAGGCUCAAUCAUGUCUGCCUCUGACUUACGAUCCUAGGAACCUUUUUCACACACCCGGGACUGGUCCCAGUAACCCGCUGAAGGCAAACCGGAUCACAACACCCGGGACCGGGACGCCGGUUCAACCGCGGGCCAUGGAACCACCGCGUGUGAAUACUGCUCUGCCUCACUACACAGCGAUACCACCGGGUCACUUCUCUAACCCCUUGGAGAACCUUAUUGCUGCGUCGGCUCAUCUGGCGGCUCUCCCGAUGGAAGGUGACUCUUCGACGGCGAUCGAGACACGACGGGUCAGAGAACUUCUUCAGACGGCUCUGGCACAGCAGGAUGCAUAUUCUUAUAGUUGAGAUAGAAUCCAUUCAACCCCUCGCCCAAGCCGGAGCCCAAGCUAUAGCAGGCAUAUGGACUCGGCGGCCAUGUCAAGCAACACCCAGCGCCGUAACCAUCCACGUGGGCGUGACCCGGCCCCGGGCGGAGCUUGUAACUUGGUAGACCAGGAGAGGAUCCGUCAAGAGGCUGAACGGGUGGUUCAACAGGCGGCUGAGCAAGCGGCUCACCAAGCUUUUCCAAUUUAUACAGUGACCUCUGUUGAAGCAGGGGUGGCCACAAGGACAGGAGGAGUCCCUUGUCUUGUGCAGUCUCUGCGUAAUGAGCGUUUACCAAAGGACUUUAAGGGGCCUCGUAAGGUGCCCAAUUACACAGCCGACCUGCAGCCCGGAGCAUGGAUUGAAAGUUACGAGAUGGCCAUGGAGUUAUUAUAAGUCAGUGACGCAGCAAUGGCCAAAUACUUCACCAUGAUGUUGGAUGGAACAGCUCGUACUUGGUUAAAGGGGUUACCGCCCAACUCCAUCGGCUCAUGGGCGGAGUUGAAGGCACGGUUCAUUCAGAACUUUAAAGAUACCUGUAAACAGCCCAUGUCAAUCGUGGACUUGACUAACUGCAAGCAAGAGGAAGGCAAAUCCAUGACCCAUUGGGUGCGCCGGGUCAAGGAAAUAAUACAUUCAUCUGAUAAGAUGGAUGCCAGCUCCACGGUCUUAAUGUUGGAGAAAAAUUACCGUUUUGAACCUCUGAAACAGAAGCUGGGGCGGCUCAAGCAUGAUUGUAAUGACAUGGGCCAGUUGAUGGCGGCUCUGGUCAAAUAUGCUGACUCUGACAGUACCAAGGAUCCCAUGUCUGACGAAGAGAAGACGAGGAAGGGAAAGAAGAACGGCAACGGCAAGGGUCACCAGCAUAACCCGACAAAUCAAGGAGGUAAUAAACGCAAGGCUGACGAGUUUGUGGCUAACACCAAUGCACAUGGCAACAACCAAUGGCGCAAGGGGAGGCCACCUCCUCGGUCAGGCGGAUCAGGUCCCACCCUCGAGCAACUACUAAAUGAACCCUGUCCGGGACAUGGCACCCGGGAGAAGCCGGCUACCCAUCUGUGGAAGGAUUGUACGAUCAUGAAGGCUUUUAAGAAUUCUAACAUGUUUGAUGGUAACCACGGGCCUGCUGGCGGCUCAGGCGGUGGCGGUUUUCAUGGCCAAGGCCAUCCGGGUAGUCAAGGCGAUUAUAGUCAGCAAUCCGGCCAGGGCAGUCAGCAACAGCAGCAACAGCCCGUGUAUCAGAGUAACCCAAAACAGCUGAACAGUGGACAGUACCAUGUGUUUACCACCAGUUUGUGCAAGAGGGACCAGAAGCUUCAGAAGAGGGAUGUAAAUGCUAUUGAGCCGGCGGUUCCACGUUAUUUGAGAUGGUCUGAACAACCUAUUCUGUGGAGUAGGGAAGAUCACCCACCCCGGGUUGAUAAUCCGGGUCAUCUGGCUUUGGUGGUGGCGCCUCAGGUUGGUGGAUAUAAGUUCACUAAAGUGCUCAUGGACGGAGGCAGUAGCAUCAACGUCCUCUAUUAUGAGACGUUCUGUCGCAUGGGGUUGACUGAUAAGAGUCUUAAAACAUCCAACACUGUUUUUAUGGGGUAGUGCCUGGUAAGUCGGCGUACCCAGUUGGUAAAAUUGAGCUGGAAGUGGCCUUUGGAGAUGAGUAUGAUUCUAGGGCUGAGAAGCUAACUUUUGAAGUGGUUAAAAUCAAGAGCCCAUAUCACGCUCUGUUUGGACGGCCGGCUUAUGCUAAGUUCAUGGCCCGGCCGUGUUAUGUGUAUUUGCAGCUCAAAAUGUUGGGUUAUAAAGGCACUAUCAUAGUACAUGGAAGCCGGAAAAUAGCCCUGGAAUGUGAAGAAGGUGAUGCUGCAUAUGCCGAGUCUGUUUGUGCAACAGAGGAAUUGAAGUUUUAUAAGGAUAAUGUUGACCCGGCAAACAUGGCGUCUUUGAAGAAGCCAACUACGGAGCAUGAGCCGGCAUUGAAAUUCAAGUCCGCUGAUGACACCAAGAUGAUUGAUUUCGUGUCUGGCGACUCAUCCAGACACUUCAUUAUCAGUGCUAACUUGGAUCCAAAAUAGGAAAGCGUGCUCAUCGAGUUCAUCCAUGAGAACCGGGACAUCAUUGCAUGGAAGCCUUCUGACAUGCCGGGUGUUCCGAGAGAACUCGUUGAGCACACUCUCAAUAUUCAUCCAAAGUUUAAGAUGGUCGGGCAAUUUCUUCGGCGGUUUAACGAGGAAAGGUGCAAGGCCAUUGGAGAAGAGGUGGCCCGGCUCUUGGCGGCCGGGUUCAUUGUUGAAGUUUUUCACCCAGAGUGGUUGGCUAACUCGGUGCUUGUGCUUAAAAAGAACGGCACCUGGCGCAUGUGUGUGGAUUACACAAAUUUAAACAAGGCUCGUCCAGCUGAUCCUUUUGCUCUCCCUCGUAUUGAUCAAAUCAUUGAUGCUACGGAGGGUUGUGAGCGUUUGAGUUUUCUGGAUGCUUAUUCGGGUUAUCAUCAGAUCAAGAUGGCAGUUAAGGACCAGGAGAAAACAGCUUUCAUCACUCCGUUUGGAGCCUUCUGCUAUGUGUCUAUGCCUUUUGGGCUCAAGAGUGCCCACGCGACUUAUCAGCGGUGUGUACAAAAUUGCCUUCAUAAUCAGAUUGGGUGUAAUGUUCAUGCUUAUGUGGAUGAUAUAGUGGUGAAAUCCAGAGAGAAGGAAACCUUAGUAGCUGAUCUAAAGGAAACCUUUGGUAACCUCCGGGUCUACAAGAUGAUGCUUAACCCGGCCAAGUGUGUUUUUGGAGUCCCAGCUGGCAAGCUCUUGGGUUUUUUGGUGUCUAAUGGAGGCAUUGAGGCUAACUCGGAGAAAAUAAAGGCAACCACGUCUUUGGCUAAACCGGCAUGCAUCAAUGACGUUCAGCGGCUGGCGGGCCGUGUCGCAGCUUUAAGCCGGUUUAUAAGUCGGUUGGGCGAGAAGGCUAUGCCAUUGUAUCAAAUGAUGAAAAAGGUGGAUGACUUUGUAUGGAGUGACGCUGCUGAUUCCGCUUUUGAAGGUUUGAAAAGACAGCUUGCUGGGCCACCUAUUCUUGCUGCCCCCGUUGAGAAGGAGCCGCUAUUGUUAUAUGUGGCUGCUAACUCACAAGCCGUCGGCAUGGCCAUUAUUGUGGAGCGCAAGGAGGUUGGCAAGGAACAUCCAGUUCAAUGGCCGGUUUACUACGUCAGUGAGGUGCUCAUUGGAUCCAAGAAAAGAUACCCACAUUAGCAAAAACUUGUUUAUGGGGUGUUCAUGGCAAGCCGGAAGCUUAAGCAUUACUUCCAGGGUCAUCCUAUCACUGUGGUUAGCUCUGCUCCUUUAGGAGAUAUUAUUUAGAACAGAGAAGCCACAGGACGAGUCGCCAAGUGGGCCAUUGAGCUUGGGGUCUCAUAAUAUAAAGUAUGUGCCACGUACGGCUAUUAAGUCUCAAGCACUGGUGGACUUCAUUAAUGAUUGGACGGAGUUACAGACACCUGAAGAGAAGCCAGACAACACAUAUUGGACGAUUCAUUUCGAUGGGUCCAGGCAGUUGGAAGGCUCGGGGGCUGGAGUUGUGUUAACUUCUCCUCGAGGUGACAAGUUUUGUUAUGUGUUGCGAUUGAUGUUUCCUUGUACUAACAAUGCAGCAGAAUAUGGGGCCUUGCUCCAUGGUCUUCGAAUGGCUAAAGAGAUGAGUUUAAGACGGGUACGGUGCCUUGGCGACUCAGAUUUGGUGGCUCGGCAGGUGUCAGGCAAGUGGGAUUCCAAGGACCCUCUCAUGGCGGCUUAUCGCCGGGAAGUUGAUGAUGUUGUUGGACAUUUCAAAGGUUAUCAGGUGGAGCACAUUGACCGCAGAAAAAACAAAGCGGCUGAUGCUUUAAGCCGGUUGGGAUCACAGCGUAAGCUGGUGCCACCUAACACUUUUCUAGAUGUUCUUCAAAACCCUUCUGUCAAACUGCCUACAGAGGAAGAUUUGGUCAUUCCAGACCCGGAGGCACAGUUAGUAGCGGCUCUUCAUGUUAUUCCAGAUUGGACAUUACCGUAUUUGGCUUACAUGACCCGGGGUGAGUUGCCAGAGGAUGAGACCUUGGCUCGACAGAUAACCCGACGGUCUAAGUCAAUGACAAUUUCCAAUGGUGAGUUGUAUCAUCGCAGCGUCACUGGAGUGUUUCAACGUUGUGUCUCUCCCGAAGAAGGUCAAGAAAUUCUUCGUGAGAUCCAUGAAGGGGAUUGUGGUCAUCACGCUGGUUCAAAGUCUCUUGUGGCUAAAGCUUUUCGUCAUUGUUUUUACUGGCUAACGGCUCACGCUGAUGCAGAGGAUCUGGUCAGUAGGUGUGAUGGGUGUCAAAAAUUUGCACGACGAGCGCACGUGCCGGCUUAAGAAUUGCGGAUGAUUCCAAUCACUUGGCCGUUUGCAGUCUGGGGGCUUGACAUGGUUGGACCUUUUAAAAGAUCCAAGGAUAAAAAGACACAUCUUUUGGUGGUAGUUCACAAAUUUACAAAAUGGGUUGAGGCAGAGCCGGUUAGUAAGUGUGAUGCAGCCACGAUGGUUCAGUUCAUGAAAAAGGUGAUCUUUCGUUUUGGCUUUCCACAUAGCAUUAUAACUGACAAUGGUACUAAUCUGUCCAAAGGCAACAUGGAGGAGUUUUGUCAAUGUGAGCAUAUCCGGCUUGAUGUUUUGUCUGUAGCUCACCCCCAAUCCAAUGGUCAAGCUGAGAGAGCAAAUCAGGAAAUCCUAAAAGGUCUCAAGCCCGACUUAUGGUUCGUUUACAACGGACGCCGGGUUGUUGGGUGGAGGAAUUACCCUCGGUGCUGUGGAGUAUCAAUACCACUCCUAACAGAUCUACAGGUUAUACACCUUUCUUCAUGGUUUAUGGAGCAGAAGCAGUUCUGCCUAGUGACAUCCGUCAUGACUCACCUCGCGUGGCGGCCUAUGUUGAAGCUGAUAAUGAACAAGCCCGACAGGAUGCACUUGACUUGUUAGAUGAGGAGAGAGAUUUGGCAGUGGCUCAAUCAGCAAUUUAUCAACAAGACUUGCGCCGUUAUCACAGCCGCCGGGUUAAGUCCAGAACCUUUCAAGAAGGUGACCUAGUGCUCCGGCUCAUCCAGGAUCUGUCUGAUGCACACAAGCUAUCCCCGCCUUGGGAAGGACCCUUUGUGGUCAACAAGAACUUAAACAAUGGGUCAUAUUACCUCAUUGAUGUUCGAGAGCACAAAGACCCACGUAAGUCGGAGGAGGAGACCCGCCGGCCGUGGAACAUCGCUCAGCUUCGGCCAUACUACACUUAAACCAUCGGCUCUCAUCAUGUACAUACUUUGACGUUGUAUAUAAUAUGAUAAGUAAUAAAGCAGGACCUCUGUCCUUUUUCCCCUUCAAUGAUCAUAUAUCUUUAUUAUUUUCAUUAUUUAAAAUGACCAUUAGGGGGCUGAUCGUAUCCGAAUCUAGCUUAACCCUUUUGGUCCGGCUCAUGAUCGUAUUCGAAUCUAGCCGUAAAACUCAUGGUCACUUGGGGGCUUCCUGUUCAAACAUAGGUCGUAUUCGAACCAAAGAGAACAUAGCUGUCGUAACCCUCUUGAUCGGCUCAAAGCCAAACUCACUAGGGGGCUUCUUGAUCGUAUCUGAAUCAUAGCUUAACCCCUUUUUGGGUCCAACUUGGAUCGUAUUCGAAUCAGGGUCGUUAAAAACCUCUCAAGGUCAUUUGGGGGCUUCCUAUUCAAACAUAGGUCGUAUUCGAACCAAAGAGAACAUAGCUGUCGGUACCCUCUUGAUCGGCGCAACGCCAAAGCCACUGGGGGCUAUAUGAUCGUAUCCGAAUCUUAGCUUAACCCCUUUGGUCCGGUUUACUGAUCGUAUUCGAAUUAGAAGCCUCCAGUUUUUAUUUAAAUGUUUGAUUUACAUUGUCUGAAGCCUAGUGUUUUAUCUUACUAUUUUUAUCGUCUCAAAUCUAACUGUUAGUAUGGUUUCAAAUUAAACCGGCUUGGCUAUUUGACAAUGUGUCGCCAAGGCAUAACAGUCAUCAGACAUAUGGAAGUAUUGACUUCUAAAAAAGAUUGGGUUAUCAACCUCAUCAUCCGGGUCAUGUAAACCGACAGUCCAUGUUCAAAAACCACAGGUAUGACAGUGUCAUUCAUGAACAGACUUCCCUGGGUUUUUCGUCAGUCAAAGGAUUUUUCAGCCUUGUUUAUCUUACAUCUGGUUCUAUUUUUUCCACUAUGAUAAUUUCAUAAUCAUGUACCGGGUGUUUUGACCCGUCCGGUGCUAAGCCACCGGGACAGUUUUUUUCAUCUUUUACAGGAACAGAGUUAAAACAUUACAGAUGUAACCACGAUGUAAUGCAUAUAUAUAUUGACAUCAUGGGCAAAGAGUCAUAUGAAACAUCUUAUGCACGAUGGCAUAGGCAAAAUAUGCAAUUUUCAAACUAACCUAUUACAAGGCAUUGAGAGCCCAAAAGGUUAAACGGUUUUCUCUCUUAAGCAGGUCUUAAGCUAAAAACUGGAUUGUUCAGAUGGUUAUGACUCCUCCCUGGCCGUUUCACCUCCCUCCACUGGUUGGAAGCUGGGAUUGGACCAGUCAAAGCCGUUCAGAGCAAUGAACUCAGCCUCAUCGUCAAUUAGGCCGGCCGGGUCAAUUUGCAGGGCAAAAGUGUGUUGACGAACCGGCGGGAUAAGAUCCAUCACUUUAUAAGAGGGAGUCGCCAUCUUUUUAUUCUCCAUAUCAAAACCCGACUGAUAUUUUUCGAUGUUGGUCUCCUCACCAAGAAUGGUAGCCUGAGGACGAACUCCCCUCACACAAGCAAUAAAGUCAUCUUGCUCAAACGGAGUCCCGUCUUCCUUCAUGGUAGGGUACCCCUUAGCCACGUCCACCGGGUGUAAAUCGGGCACCCAGGCUUUGGAGCGGCUCAGGGCAGUCAGGGCUCCGACUCUGGCACAAGAUCGUUUGACCUCUUGAAAUCUGGCGGGUAAGAUCGAUAACUUCUUCAAAACAUCACUUAAACGGUUGGGUCCUUGGUUGGCAGGGGAUAUAUAUAGUAGAAAGUGCUCGUUGAGCACCAGUGUACAGUUGCUCCACCAAGGUAUAAACCGCCUUCAGUUUUGUCACACUAUCUUGACUCAGAUAUUUUACUUCGUGGACCUGUGAGUACUUUUUAACAAAGGCUCAGCAGGCGGCUUAUAUUUCUGGUUAAAAUAAAGUAUAAGUGACUAAUGCAAAUGACUUACCAAAGAUGGCGGAGACCAUUUGAUACACACGGUUUUUUAAGCCGGUGAGCUCCAUGGUAACCUCCUCAAGAGUCGCCUCUGCUGUCUUGGCACGUUGUGUCAGCAAGGUCUUCUCAUCGGCCCAGGAUUUCUUCUUCUCAGUCACACUGGUCUUCAAUUUUUCAGUUUUAGAGAGACUCAAUUGGAGUUUGGAGUUAGCAGUCUUUAUCUCCGCUUCUUGAUCCGCCAGCCGGGUCUUUGCAUCCGUCAAUUGAGAUCCCAAUUCAGUUAGGGCGGUCUACAAACAUGCAUAGGUGUGUCAAAAUUUAAACACAAGUUAUAUUGAUUAAAGUCGCGAGUGCUUUGCAACGCAACACCACUUGGCACUUGGGGGCUAAUGUCUGCCAAAGCAAUUUUAUGCAAAAUGACUCUUCUAUGUUUCAAGUCCCAAGUGUUUUACAAAGUAACAACGCUUGGCACUUGGGGGCUAAUGCAUGAUAUUCAGAAAGUUUUUCAAGAUGAGCCGGAUCACACUACUUAUUUGGACUAAUCUAAGACAGUUAUGAAGUUAAGUACCGGGUCAUUUAUGAUAAAUUGAGCCGGCCCUUGGGGACUACAUGUGAAGUUUAUACUAAUCCGUUGAACUUAGGAAAAAUCUAAAGACAAGGUAUCAACCUAUAUCAUAAGUCUACAGAUCAUUCAGGUUCAUCAUAAUCUGAAGACUUGGGGGCUGGCAGAGUAUAUAUAAACCGGAGAACGUACCUCAUAUUCUGUAACAUCCCAAAUUUUCAAUUUGGAAUGUUACACGUUAGGUCAUCAUGCAUAUCAUAUUUUAUUUUUCUUUUGGUUUUGAUCCUAGAAAAUCCUAAGCAACUCAAGGACCCACGGAGAGAGUUGGGGAUUUCAUUAUUUACAUAUUUGAGUUUUCUCAAAUUAUGUAAACAGGAUCAUUUGAUUUUAUUUAUUCUAUCAUCAAUUAUUUCUAUUACAAAAAUAUGAGAGAGGGAAUAAAAUGACUUUUCCAAAAUAUAGAAAUAUUGAGGAUUUAAUAAAAAAUCAAAUAAGUUUUAUUUCGGAGUUUUUUGGUAUUUUUAUUUGAAUUUAGGAAAAAUGCGCGUUUUUCAAAUUGUAGUUUGGGCCCAGAUAAAUGUUCACUUUAUCGGGCUUGAUUUUAGGAACCCGGCAAAAUUUAUUUCGUGAUUUUUGGAGUCCGUUUAGUAUUUCUUUUUAUUUUUCUUCCGAGCGGAUUUAAAAAAAAACUAGAACCGACUCCGUGCCGUAACCGGCCAGGAAACCUCCGCCCGGGGCCUUUAUAUAGCGCCCGAACCGGCCGAGAGAGAGAGAGAGGCCCGAAGCCAGCUAACCCUAACCCUAGCUAAGCCGCCGCCGCCUCCCAGCCGUCGCCGCCCGCCGCUGCCGACUCGCCGGAGCGCGCGCCUUUCGAGGUUCGCCGCCGCCUCGUUUUCCGUGAAGUUUUUUUUUAAAAAAAAAAUCUGUUCGUCGUUUUUCUUUUUCGUCGGAUUUUCCGCGGUUAUUUUCUGAUCGCGAUUUCUGAUCCGGUUUUCGUUUUAGUAUAACUUUUCGCUCGUUUAUCGGAAUCAGGCGAUUCAAGCGCCUGGAGUUUCGUCUCGAAACCCUCUUUCCGAAUAAUCAACUUAAACAAGUUUUUGCUACUGUAAAAUUUGCCCUAGAUCCAGAUUACUAGAAGGAAGUUGUUUUUUUUGCCGUUUGAUUUCUUUCGCUUCGUUCGAUUUGAUUCUUUUGCCAACCAGGGUUCUUAAGUUGAACUUUCUGGUUAGAUCUUCUAUUUGAGUUUUACUUGUGCAUUAGAUGAGUACUUAUUGUAUGCUUGAUGUUUGUCUGUGAUAGAAUACCCGGAGUGCGCCGCCUGUUACUUCGAAUCUCUAGGUUUCGCGGAUCAUCAGCAAGGCAAGUAACACUUUGAUCAUACCUUUUCUACAACCCAGUUUUAUUGCAUUAGAUCAAUCCUCACACAUUGCAUGAUUAGGAUCUAAUUAAAUUGUGGGAUGGGAAGUAGAUGAGGUAGUACCUAUUACCUGUUUAUUAUCAAACCUUUGGGAGUUACUUCUACGUUUGCUUAUGCCAUGUUAUGCCGGUAGACGUGGAUUGGGUGAGUGAUAUCCAUGACAGAUGUGAGAUUUAUAAUUAAGGGUUAUCUAAGGUGGCAACCUAACACACAUCUGGGUGGAUUGAGGCACCUGGGGUUACCAGGACUUGCCUGUUUUCUUUUGGACCGCCACCCAGGCCCAAAGGGAUCAUGAGAUUUUUCAUACUAGAAACUUCCGUGUGCAGCCACAAGCCAUUAUGGGCUCUGGCAUAGUUGACUAAGUUGUGCGAACUCUUACAGUGGUAGACUAGCAGAUGUAGGGGAAAGUAGGUGUACCGGUCUACCCGUCGUAAGGUGCUAGCGCUUCUGAAAGACUGUGUCUCGGUCAUCCGUUUCUCAAACACCUUGUAGUGCGAGAAACCAAACGGAGGUGAUCGAGUCUUGUGGGGAAAAGUGCGCAAACCUCUGCAGAGUGUAACAAACUAAUCAUGGUUAGCCGUGUCCCUGAUUAUGGACAUCUUGAGUAUCUAUUACCUGGAUUAUCAUGUGAAUCUCAACAUGUUACUCUAAAAUUAAUUUUGUGGGAUUUUAAUGAUGUUACUUAAUUGGGAUUGAGGAUGCUGUCAACCAUUCUCAAUGUUUAACAACCACCAUGAUAGUAAUUAAUUUUAUUCCUUUGAAGUAGGGAAAAAUUGGCUUUACGCAAAAACUGUAACCAUAGAGCUUUCCACCAGCCAAAUAUGCAUAUAGUAUAGUUGUUGCAUUCCAUUACUCUCUAUGUGUUACCUUGCCAGCAUAUUCCAUGUGCUGACCCGUUUCGGGCUGCAACGUUAAUGUUGCAGACUUUUCAGAUGACGAUUGAGGAAUUUUAGGUCGUGGUUCUAUACUCAGUGAUGCCGUUGGAGUUGAUGGACUCACUUAUCUUCCAAGCCUUCCGCUGUUAUCGUUAUUAGAUGGCCUUAAGCCAUAUUUAUUGUAAUAAGUUCUCUUUUGAGACACUCGAUGUAAUAAGUGUGUGAUUGCUACUCUGCUAUAAAUCCUCCGAGUACUGUGUGGUGUCAGCAUUACUGAUCCAAGGAUGACAUCGGAGCACAGAGAUCAGACUGUUUAAGGUCUGGUCGCUACAUAUUCCAGUUGCAAUUGCUUGACCAUCUCAAUUUCCGAGUCACGGCUGGAAUGCACAGGACUGAGAUAGCCGGACAGCAUGUCACUAACAUUCAGAUGAGCAUAGUGAGAGAUAUCAAAUUGUACUUUCUGUCUUUCCAAGGCCUCCUGUUUAGCAGAAUGCCUGGCCAGCACAGUCGGAUUACCCGGCGCAACAAAUCUGCUGCCAGUGAUCAAAACGUCAUGGUCAGAAGAUGCUGGCAGGUUAGCUGAACCGGACGGUCUGACGGUGGAUGGAUCGACAAUGGUUUCGUCAGCUGACGGCUCAGGAGGGUCCAAUUGAGCAUGGACAGCUAAAUCUUCUGGCGCUUCAGAUUGAGUGGGAGGAGUUGAUGUUGCCAGUUCAGGUGCAGGAUUUUUUGGGUCCUCUGCCGGUUUAAUCACCUUGGCUUUCUUGGACUUUGCUUGACCGCUAAGAAAGAUUUUUAUGAAAUAGUUAGUAUAAUGAUGCAGUUUUAAAAAUGUAGAGGAAAGAUGAUUUUCCUUACCCAUGGGCAGUCUUGAAAGCCGGAAAUUGAGUUUGGGAUGAGUCGCCAGAAGAGCGAGAGACCUCCUGCAAAGGUAAAAUAAAGUUAAGAAUAUAAGGAAAUAAAUUCAUGGAUAAAAACAAAGGACAAAGGUGAAAGAAACCUCAUUCUGGCGUUUUUGAGGAGUUUUUUCUAAGUCGAAAGGUGGUUCAUCAUCAUCAUUAGUCCGGGCCAGAUGGCGGCUCUCAUGUUGCUGCUUUUUCAAAAGAAAAUGAGGGUCCAAAUAAGCCAAAGGGUGCAAAAACCUUACUUUCCGGGUUACCAGUCGAAGUUUCUGUCUCGGCAAAGGGGCUGAGUCGUAGGAAAUAGUUACCUCUUCUUCCGCGGCCUGGCUGGCCCCCGUGUCAUCCUGGCAAUAGUCAGUGUCAAUAAGAUAGUUGAAAAUUUGGCCAAGGGAGAAAGGGCUACCUCCGACUCAGAAACAUCAUCAAGCUGGAAGAUGUCAGAUGCAGUCUUCUUCUUGGGCUUCCGGGUCGUUCUCUUGGCGGCUACGGCAGCGGAUCUAGCCUUCUUGGUAGCUUCAUGAUCAUACUUGGCCUUCCAGAAGUCAGAUUUGUCCUGUAAACAAAUAAAGAGGUUAAAAGGUCAUGCAAGUAUUUAAACUACUGAGGUAAACACAAAAAGAGAAAAAGGUCAAGAAGUUACCUCUGGUGUCGGGUUAAGUUUGCAGAAGGGGUUUAAUCCAACCUUGCUGUAGUCCUCGUAUUUGCCAUUCACGAGGAUGGUAGACAUUGCAACAAUGUCUUCUUCAGUUAAUUGUACAGAGCUAUAACGCAGAGAAUCAUUUGGGCCUCCGCCAUACUUAUACAUCAACUUGGAUCGGCGGCUUAGAGGGAUGACCCGCCAUGAGAUCCAGCAAUGGAUCAGGUCAACUCCGGUUAAGCCAUUUCCCAAUAAAGCUUGAAUCCUUUUGACAGAUGGGAUAAGCUUCUUGCGUUCAGCAGUAGUAAGCUUGUCAGGGAGCACAAACUUGGAAUCAAGACGCUCUUCACGAUAACCCGGCAGUGGUUUUUCAUCAGCCGGUGAUGUAUCUUGGCAGUAGAACCAGGUUUGCUUCCAGUCUUUGGGAUGGCUCGGUAAGACCACUAAAGGAAAAACGGCACCUUGUCAGCGUUGAAUUGAAAUUCUGCCAAGUUCCAAGCUAAGGCCGUUGGUGCACUCAUUCUGGCGGUUCAAGUAAAAGUACUCUCUAAAGAGCUCCACAGUUGGUUCUUCUUGAAGAUAUACCUCACAAAGAACUUGAAAAUUGCAGAUGUUGGAUAUAGGGUUGGGUCCAAUAUCUUGUGGAUGAAGCUUGAAAAAAUGCAGGACAUCUUGGACGAACUUUGAGCCGGGUGGUGAGAAGCCCCGGUUCAUGUGAUCUGUGAAAACGAUAACUUCGCCGUCUUUGGACUAAGGUCGUUCUUCGUCCGGGUCAGGAGCACGAUAAGACAUAACGCUUUUCUCUGGCAAAAAUCCAAUGGUGACAAAUUAUUUCAAGGUAUCUUCAGUAACUGUGGAAGGCACCCGGUUGCAGACAGUUGGCGCUUUUGACGGCAUGAUGAAGAAAGGGCAAGCUGAAAAGAAAGUAAUUUGCCGGUUCAAUUUAUUGGUGGAGUUACAGGUUCAUGAUUAUAGUACAGAUGAGUAAUGGCGGCUUAAGUAAGGGCUAAUGACAUGUAAAGGAAAAAUAAGCCGGAGUCAUAAGCCGCCAUGACUAAAAAGUAUUUGAAGGUUGCCAGAAUCAAAAUUGACUAAAGUGUUGAGACAAACAGGUUUCCCAAGUUGUGGCUAUUAUUAUGGAUCAAAAUGGUUCAGAAAAUAAAAAUAAAGUUAGACCUAGAAAACGAGCACAGAGGAGUUUGUCAGCUCUAAAGAGGCAUUUAUACAGGAGAAGGGGAUCUGUUAGCUUCAAAAAUGGAUGAGAAAUAGCUACCUCAUAAGUUUUGUACUACUUUUAGAUCAAAAGAGGGUGCGGUAAGAGAAGUUGCAACGAAUCUAUGACGAACAACGAAGAACACAAGAAGGAAACCUCCCGAACCCUAAUGCAGAUCUAUGGGGGUGAGAAGGUGAGAGCUUACAGGUGCGGAGCUGCUGCGGAGGAUCGCCACCGUUCUCUGGAUAGACUCAGGGUGAUGCUGCGGCCAGAGUUGAGGACGACGGUGCGCUACGGUGGCGACGGAGCUCGAGCGGCAAAGAAGGUGCGAGAGGAAGAAGAAAGAGGAAGGACUGGCCGAGCCUAUUUAUAAGGGGGUAAGUGAACGGGCAGACGCAAAAAUUGAGGAAGACCAAAGUAAUGAUUAUCCAGCUAAAUGGACGCCUCGAUCUUCGGAAAACAUUUAAGAUAAGGAUCCGUUGAAGAUGAAAUCGUGGUGUUUUUCCAAAUUUUUUCAAUCCUAAUGGUUGGUUAAUAAAAUAAGCUCAGUGAAUAUACAAGGCGAUAGUUUAUUAUAAGACUUGUAGUAGGCCCAAGCCCAAAGGCGGUUUAAGGCCCAUAAUUGUAAACCGCCAUGUAUAAGAAAGACUUGUAAAGAAAGGCAUGUAAGAGAAGUCACCGAGCCGAACACGUUAUAUGAGCCGGCCGGGACUCUGUAGGCUGCCAGGCGUCAACCCAUGUAUAUAAGGGGAUGACCCGGUGGCUGCUUAGGACAAGUAACAUCAAAUCAAGAGCCAUGCAUAGCGUAUUUGCUCCCUGAUCAUCGAAACCUAGCAAUAUCACAUCAACUGGACUAGGCUUUACCUUCACCGUAAGGGGCCGAACCAGUAUAAACCUUUCGUGUCCUUUGUCCCGAUUAACCCCUUUAAGCUUCCUAGUUGCGAUGGCUCCACGGCUAAGUCCUUUCACUAGGACAUCAUCCGUGACAAUUCCACGACAACUCUGGUGCGGAUCUUACUAUGGUUGACCUACGAGGUUCAGCGGUAACUUGAUCUGAAGUUUCAUGAUCAUCAUCAUUAGCUUCCUCACUAAUUGGUGUAGGAAUCACUGGAACUAAUUUCUGUGAUGAACUACUUACCAAUUCGGGAGCAGGUACAAUUGCCUCAUCAAGUUCUACUUUCCUCCCACUCACUUCUUUCGAGAGAAAGUCCUUCUCUAGAAAGGAUCCUUUCUUAGCAACGAAUAUAUUGCCUUCGGAUCUGUGAUAGAAGGUGUACCCAACAGUCUCCUUUGGGUAUCCUAUGAAGACACAUUUCUAUGAUUUGGGUUCGAGCUUAUCAGGUUGAAGCUUUUUCACAUAAGCAUCACAGCCCCAAACUUUAAGAAACGACAACUUAGGUUUCUUGCCAAACCACAGUUCAUAUGGUAUCAUCUCAACGGAUUUAGAUGGUGCCCUAUUUAAAGUGAAUGCAGUCUGAAAGUGCGUUAUAUCGACUAGAGGGGGGGUGAAUAGGCGAUUUUUAUGAAAGUCUUCAAAACAUGGAAGUUUCGAAGACAAACGAUAGAAAUAAACCUAUUACCAUGCAGUGGAAGUUAGACUACACUAGAUAAACCGUAGUCAUGUAUUCAAUGAAGUGAAAGGACAAUGACUAAUAGUAGCUAGGUAGUAAGGAUCAGGCAGGAAGAUAUUAAGAAGCCAAACGGAUCACACAGUCACUCAGUGAAGACAAAAGAUAGAGAAAACAUACAAUGACUUCACACAGAGUAACAGUAAGUAAAGAGAAGGGAAGGAUGAAACCAGUGACUCGUUGAAGACAAAGAUUUGUUGGACCAGUUCCAGUUGCUGUGACAACUGUACGUCUGGUUAGGGCGGCUAGGUAUUUAAACCAAAGGACACACAGUCCCGGACACCCAGUCCUGAACACGCAGCUCAGGACAUCCAGUCCUCACCGUAUUCCCCUUGAGCUAAGGUCACACAGACCUCGCCCAAUCACUCUGGUAAGUCUUCAAGGUAGACUCCCAAACCUUCACAGACUUCGUUCACCGGCAAUCCACAAUGUCUCUUGGAUGCUCAGAACGCGAUGCCUAACCAGCUGGAGGAUGCACAGUCCUCAAGUGUAAUAAGUCUUCAGAUCACUCAGACAAGAAGACUUAAGUGAUGCCUAAUUCUCUUUCGCUCUGGGUGGUUAGGGCUUUAUCCUCGCAAGGAAUUCUCUCUCAAAGGCUUCGAGGUGGGUUGCUCUCAAACGACAAAAGCCGUACUUUGAAUCUGAGUAGCCAACCGUUUAUGGUUGUAGGGGGUGGGCUAUUUAUAGCCACUAGGCAACCCGACCUGAUUUGUCCGAAAUGACCCUGGGUCACUAAGGAACUAACAUGUGUUCCAACGGUCAAAUUUCAAACUCACACGGAAACUUUACUUGGGCUACAAGCAAAGCUGACUUGUCCGACUCUGGACAAGAUUUUCUCUCAUAGUCUUCACUCGAAGACAUAGGUUUUUGUUUAAGCAUCACUUUAGUCAUUCUGACUGGCUCUCUUGGACCCCACUUAACAGUAUGUUGGUUCCUAUGACUCAACACAGAAGAAAAAGAACUACGAAAAAUCUAAGUGUUCAAGCUCCAUAGGCUUCAUGCGGUGUCUUCUCUUGUCAUAGUCUUCAAUGUGAAUAUCUUCAUAUACCACCUUUGACAUCAAUGUCUUCAUACACUUUUAGGGGUCAUCUCUGGUGGGAAAACCGAAUCAAUGAGGUACUUCUACCUGUGUUAUCCUGCAAUUCUCACAAACACAUUAGUCCCUCAACUAGGUUUGUCGUCAAUACUCCAAAACCAACUAGGGGUGGCACUAGAUGCACUUACAAUCUCCCCCCUUUUGGUGAUUGAUGACAAACUAGUUGAAGUUUUCAACGGGGAAUAUAAUGUGUGAAAUUGUAAAGGAUAAGGAAUUGUCUUCAUAAGUUACAAGGGCUCCCCCUGAAGAUGUGCAUAUAAGUAAUUUGCUUUUGGAAUGCAAAUGCACAUGGCAGGUUGUGCUUGUGGAGAUCCACUUCAACUUAUGAUGACAAUCCACUAUGCAUGUGAAAGUAUGUGAAGAUAAUGACAUGCAUAAUGGAAAAUGGAUGUCUGCAGAAUGAUCUAAGUGCGGAAUCUAUCAUCGCACAUGCGGAAUUUAUCAUCACAACACAAGGUAGCAAAUAGGUAGCAGACGACCAUCAAGUUUAAGUGUUACAACUCAAAGAACCAAAUGUUUCAAAACGAGAGUUGUAAGCACGAAGCAAAAUAUAAAACACCCGCCCAUAUGGACCCAUUUGAAGACUAUCAAACUCAUAUGCUUCUCCCCCUUUUGACAGUAAGGACCAAAAAGGUUUGAAGACAUAGAGCCUCUACUCGUUCCCAUGAGGAGUAGGUGAAGCAGCAGGAUCGUUGAUGGUGUUUGGCAGUGCAGACGAGCUUGGAGCAGUGUCGACGUGUGCUGAAGGAGGCGGCGAAGAAGUAGCAUCGUCUUCAUCCUCGAUCACUCUGGCAUUCACGGUUGCAGUAGAGGAAGAGAACUCAGGGUCUUCAAGUGAUGGAGUUCGUCGCAGCACAGCCCUGCGAGGAGGUGUGGAGUCAAACUUGAAGCGCUCAGUGAAGCCAUCCUCUUGCAGAUCAUCUUCAGAACACAGCAGCGUCAGCCCUUUCCAUGUGCGUCGAGAUGUUUCAUGAGCAACAAAGGCGUUCUUGGUGGCAAGAUUGUGAAUGCGAUUAACAUCCACCAAGAGGCUUUGCAUUUGACGCUUUAGCCAGUCAUGAUGCCUAUCCUGUUUCUGAUGAAGGGCCACCAGAAGCUCUCGGUCAUUGAGGACACGAGUGCGCUUCUUGGGUCGUUGAGCAAUGGUGCUAUCAGUGGCUUCAGUAAGAGCAGGAUGCGGGGCACGGGUAGUGCCAGCCAAAGGAUACACACGUGUUACUGCUUCAAUGCCUUCAACGUUCCGAGAGAAACUUUGAUGCUCUGCAUUCUGAAGACUUAGAGGUUCCUUGGCAGGCUCAGGAUAUAUGGCUUCAAUAGACAUAUCCACAUCAGGCAAAAAGAUCCGAUGAUUGCGGGCAGAUGGCUGAUAUGAGAUAGCAGAGUGAAGUUUGAUCAGCCGCAUCACCCAAGGGGCGUAGAACUUCAACCCAAAUAGAUCAGAGCCAGAUGCAGCAAGUUGGCGAAUGAAGAAAUCCUAUGUAUUGAAGCAUUUUCCAUGAAGAAUAUAGAAGACCAAAGUCUUCAUUGCACCUUCCAGCUGGGCAUGGGGAGAAUGUCCUUUGAUUGGCCAGAGAGUUCGCCUUAUGAUAUGAUAAAUGGUCCUUGGCAGAUACUCAAGGUCUUCAACAAAGAACUCCGUGGGAUAAGCAGCAUCUUGGGGCAAUGGCUUCAUCAUACUGAGCAUCUGACUCAUAUUGGGUUCAGUCUUCUGAAAGAUGCUCUCAACAGCUUCAAUGUGAAGCUGACAGCCAUGCUCAUAGAGAUCGCCAGGAGUGGGCAAGCCAGUGAGCUCAAUGAUGUCAAAGACUUUGGCUUCGUGAUGAACAUUUCCAGUCAUCCACUCUAGGACCCAAGUCUUUGGAUCUCUGUUAUACCCGCGGAUGUGAAGUGUGGCAUAGAACUGGAGCAGCAACUCUUCAUUCCAAUGCUCUUGGUCAGUGACGAAUGGUAGCAGCCCAACUUCAUUGAAGCAAUCCAAAGCUUCUUCCAGACAGGCAGACCAGCUAUAGCUUCAAUGUCAAGGCGCUUGUGUGGGAAGAUGCGACCUUUGUUGUAAAGAAUGCAUGAGUAAUAGCUUCGCUGCUGAUAGCUCCAGAACCGAUCAGAUGAUAUUCUUUCCCUGGAGUAGGGGUUCCUGGAGCUAUUGAAGAAUGUGUUGUCUGCUCUGAAGCCAUUGAUGUUAAAGGAGCCAGGUGCUAAUGCAGGACCUGGGAACCUGGGCAAUCUUGGGAUUGGCUUCUGGACCUGAGGCCUGUGCUCAACAUGAUAGUCGAAUUGGGGACCGGCAGCAGACGCAGGAACAGGAGCAGCAGGAUUAGUGGCUUCGCUGACUUCUGGUGCUGUUGGGGGUGAGGGCUCCACAUUAGCUUCAGCCAUGACGGUGUCAGUGGCUUCAGUGGUGUUGGUGGUGGCAGCCUCUAGAUUUUCAACCUCCACUUGACGAGCUGGAGGGUCGGUCAUGAUCACGUUCUCCUCGAGAACCGCUUCUUGGUGGGGCAGGGGAGUAGCAGCUUGUGGAACUUCUUCUUCCGUGGCUGAUGCAGCUAGAUUGUCUUCAGCAGAGACUUGAGGCCUUGGACCUUUGUGAAGCCUGCGCAACGCGGGCGAUGCCUGUGGAGCUGGAGUGGGCUGGGCCUCAUAGUCUUCUUCCUCUUGUUGGCGAUCCGCCCAUGAAGCAUCCUGUGCCAUUGGCGUCAGUGGACGACCAAUGCUGAUGAGUUCGUUGUUUUCAAGCUGAGGAAGAACUGCACCAUCUUCUACAUGGUCAUGUUGACCAAUGUCUUCAGCAGUGAUGGGAUCAGCUGUUGGAAAGUCUUUAGCUUUAUGAGCCUCUGUGGAAGCAGGCUCAUGGAUUGUCAGUUGGCGUUCAGCUUCAGGAUAGACCAUUGAAAUAGGUUCAACUAUCAAAGGCUCUGUGGGAGCAGCCUGUUCCUUCUUGGUCUUUCGUUUCUUCUUGGAGGGGGCAGUAGGAGAGGCUUCAGGAUGUUUCCUCUUCCUGGCUUCAGCCUCAGCAGUCCUUGUCUUCUUGAGCUCUGAAGCGGUUGACCGGCUUUUUGGCUUCAAGCCAGUCAGUCUAGUUGGGAAGACAAUCGGAACUGCUUCCUGCCUUGGUGCGUCGGAUUCAGCCGUAGCAGUCUUCUUCUUCUUCUUUGCGGCCAUCCUAGGGUCAAUGCCAGGACGCCCAAGGGCCUUGCGCUUCUCAGCCUCAUUGUAGGCUUGCACACAUCUGUCAGCCAGAGCCUUCAUGCGCUCACGUGAAUCCCGAGCUUCUGCACAUUUCUUCAGAAAGGCUUCCUUGAGCUCGUGCAUCAUGAUCUUGAAGUUCUUCACUUCUUGCACACUGAGCUUGGCCAUAUGCUUCUUGAACUGAGCCUUUUCAUAGUCAAUCUUCUGCUUUAGUUCAACAACGUGUCGGGCGAUGGCUAGCUCUGAAGCAAUGGCGCCUUGGAAGGCGACACUGAGGCCAAUGGGUAGCUGCAGAUCAUCAAAGCUGAUGUUUGGCAUAUCAAACCACUCGUCAAUGAAGUUGUGGAUGAUGGUUACAUCAAAGAGAGGCAGAUCAUUGAAGAUUUCGGCUUCUUCUUUGCUCUUGAUGAGUUGCUCAAGAGCGUCAUCUGCAAGAUCUUCAUCACUUGACAGAUCAAUGUCAUCAUUGCGCAGAAUGGCAGCAGCUGUUAGCUCUUGGCCGGUGUGUGGCAGAGGCAUCUUGGCCUUCUAGGGCUUGGAGAUGCGUGAUAAAUCUUCGGACUGCACACUGUCUUCAGGAGAUGCAGUUGCCAGUGGCUUCGCCCUUGAGAUUUUUGGUGAAGGGGCAGGCUUUGAAGCUUUGGGCUUCUUCAACUUCUUUGGUGUUGGCGCUGCAGGCGCUUCAUCUGAUUCAGCGUUAGCUGCAGGCUCAUUCACGGUUGUCCCUUGAACCAAGAUAUGGGUGAUGAGUCCUGCAAGGUUGUAGAAAGGACCGACGACAUUGGGUUCCGCAUCGCGUGUGCCGUCAGCCCUUGGAGCAGAAGGACCAGGGUUGAAGUCUAAUCCAAAAGACUUCUUGUUCUGCUUUGCUGAGUUCUUGGCAAACUGGAAGUUGCGCUUGAAUAGAUUGUCGUCACGGCACCAUAGUAGUGACGAUGGGUGUGCAUCUGCAGGCUGUGGCCCACGCACCAUGCAGGGAUAGAAGCCUUGUUCAAUGGCUUCUUCUCUGGACCUGGGUUGAAGAUUCUUGUAUAGGAUGUCUCCCCAUGGUCUCUUGAUGGCAUUUCUCUCAGCAUAUUCCUGGGUCACAAACCGGUAUUUGAACCAUUGUUCUGCCCAAUAUCUUCGAAUCCAUUGGAUUCGGGUCUUGCGCUGAUUAUAAUCCUGUUCAGGAUCUGUCUUGUAAAGCUCUGAGAGGUCAUCAGGAAAAUCUCUUGAUGUCCCCCCACGACGCUGUCUGCCACCCUUCCUUACUGAUUUCUCUGCAGCCAUGAACUUCAAACUGAAAGGCUUCAAAACGUUCAAAGGCUUCAAAGGUUUUCGCUUGCUGGACAAACAGGAACUGGCUUCGGGAGAAUUUAUAUGAUGCUGUAAGAAUUCUGCAAAUGAAUGCAGACUAUGAGAACCAAGGGAUUCUCCCAUGGACAUGUACCUGUGACAACAUUAAGGUGCAAGGGAAGGGGAAGAGGUCAUAUGCAUUCUCAGGAGAUUUUGAAGAUAAAUCAGUUUAGAAGACAUUGACCUCAUCGUGCGAAGACAUUCACUCAUAGAUAAGGAGUUGGUUCCAGAUUUGUACGAAUCCAGUGAUCAGUACAAGUGAGGAAUCUAACUACUUGUGAAGCAUAAGUGAAUAUACUAGGCAUGUUAUGAGAUGCAGUAGGAAAGAGAUCCAACUUGUGUGAAUAGAAACUUCUUAUGGUAGAAAGUGACAAAGCCAUAGGAUCAAAAGGGGCCGUAAAAAGAAGUUUUAUUUACCACACUUGGAACUGCUAGAUGGAGUGGAAGAGGAGGCCGAGCAGUUCGAUCUUCUGUGCCCUAACUUGGCGACGAAGGACACCUACGGCGACGGCGGAGAGGACGAUGUCCGCGGUCGGUGUGAAGACGGCGUCGGAGAGGUUGCGGCAGUGAAGCGCUUCGUCGCCGGCGUCGUCGAGGGCUAGCAGUGGCACUAGGGUUCGUGCGAGGGUGGAAGAAGAGAUGAUGACCGCUGUGAAGGGUGUAUUUAUAGGUACAGGGGCGGCACUGCGUUAUUACACAGGUGCCCCUGGCGAUUCACAUCUGAGGAACACGUGGCCAUCAUGCAGUAUAUUGGGGUUUGUUCCACGUCUCACGCACGCCUAGAUUGUCGGGUGGUCGUUCCUACUUCUCCGGGUUUCAUGUGGAGGAAUGGGCAUUGAAAACGGACUUAAUGUUUGUCUCUGUAUGUUCUGCUGACAAGGACGCAGAGAAGACAUUCGACAGUUUCAAUAGAAUGCAUAUGAUUUGGAGAGAUAGAGUUUGAGAUAGAGAGCACAGAGAGGUUAGGGUCCGAUCACAUUCACUUAGAUCAAAAGAUUCAACAAGAAGACAUAGCUAUAAGUGAAUACUGUAGAGGACAGAACACUAGUAUAUAUAUAUAUAUAUAAUCAACAUAGUGAAGAUAAUCAUGAAAACAUGUUGAGAUUGAAACCAAACCAAAUGUGAAGUCAUAGCAAGGUAAUGCCAUGAGUGAAACACUUCAAAUAGAACAUUUGGUGGUGGCGUUACCCACCGUAUAGGAAGUAUUAGACCCAGACACGGCGCACAAUUAUCGUGGCGCUCCGAAGUCAAAUUCCACAUUAAUGUAUUCACACUUAGAAUGUAUGUCUUCAUUGAUUGAAGAUAUACUUUACUUCGUGUGUUGCACAUCUAAGUCAUCAAUAUGCAUAAGGGUUAGGAUGUGUGCCUGAUCACAGGACAUUUGAGGAUUCCAGGAUAUUUAGCUCACAUCGUAACUUGCAAAAUCUCUUCUCAUCCAAGGGCUUGGUGAAGAUAUCUGCCAAUUGCUCUUCAGUGUUGACGUGUAUGAUAUCAAUAUCUUCCUUCACAACAUGAUCUCUGAGAAAGUGAUGACGAAUUUCAAUGUGCUUUGUCUUCGAGUGCUGAACAGGGUUGUUGGCAAUCUUGAUGGCGCUUUCGUUGUCACAGUAGAGUGGCACUUGCUUCAGAUGAAUGCCAUAGUCCUUGAGGGUUUGCUUCAUCCACAGAAGCUGAGCGCAGCAAGAUCCAGCAGCAAUGUAUUCAGAUUCAGCAGUGGAGAGAGAUACACAGUUCUGCUUCUUUGAAGACCAACAUACAGGUGAUCGUCCCAGAAAAUGACAUGUGCCUGAUGUAGACUUGCGAUCCACCUUGUCACCAGCAUAAUCAGCAUCCGAGAAUCCAACCAGAUCAAACUCUGAGCCCUUUGGAUACCAUAAUCCUAGAGUUGGGGUGUGAGCCAAAUAUCGAAGAAUUCGCUUCACAGCUAGGUGAUGCGACUCCUUUGGUGCCGCUUGAAAUCGAGCACACAUGCAAACACUAAGCAUAAUAUCUGGCCUAGAUGCACAUAGAUAAAGCAAAGAACCAAUCAUGGAGCGGUAUACCUUUUGAUCGAACUCUUUACCAUUGUCGUCAGGACCCAGAUGAUGCUUGGCUGGUAUUGGCGUCGUGAACCCUUUGCAGUCUUGCAUACCGAACUUCUUAAGGCAAUCCUUGAGAUGCUUCUCUUGAGAUAUGAAGAUGCCGUUGCGUUGCUGUCGUAUUUGAAUACCGAGGAAAAACUUCAGCUCUCCAUCAUGGACAUCUGAUAUUGCUCUUGCAUCAUAUAUCCAAACUCUUCACUGUACUUCUGAUUGGUGCAGCCGAAGAUAAUGUCAUCCACAUAUAUUUGGCACACAAACAGUUAACCAUCAUAUGUCUUCGUGAAGAGAGUGGGGUCGAGGGAACCAGGUAUGAAGCCUUUGCUCUUCAGGAAGUAUUUGAGUGUGUCAUACCAGGCCCGAGGGGCUUGUUUGAGGCCAUAUAGUGCCUUGUUGAGCUUGUAUACCGUAUCAGGAUGUUUUAGAUCUUCAGAGCCAGGUGGUUGUGCAACAUACACUUCUUCUUCAAUCUUUCCAUUGAGAAAGGCGCUCUUCACAUCCAUUUGAUAAAGAAGUAUGUUGUGAUGAUUUGCAUAGGCCAGCAGUAUGCGUAUGGCUUCAAGUCUAGCCACAGGAGCAAAUGUUUCAUUGAAGUCAAUGCCUUCCACUUGAGUAUAUCCUUGAGCAACUAGACGAGCUUUGUUUCUGACAACUUGACCAUGCUCAUCUUGCUUGUUGCGGUAUAUCCAUUUUGUGCCUAUUAUGUUGUGCUUCCGAGGAUCAGGACGCUUAACCAGUUCCCAUACAUUAUUCAGCUCAAACCGUUGAAGCUCUUCUUGCAUAGCUUGAAUCCAUUCAGGUUCCAUGAAGGCUUCUUCCACUUUCUUGGGUUCUGUUAUUGAGACGAAUGCGAAGUGCCCACAGAAAUUUGCCAGCUGGGUUGCCCUUGAUCGACUGAGCGGACCAGGUGCAUUGAUGCUGUCAAUUAUUCUCUCAAUUUGCACUUCAUUGGCAACACGAGGAUGUACAGGGCGAAGACUUUGCUCUUGCUGAUCAUUGUCGUUGUUGGAGGGAUUGUCUUCAGGUUGAGCAUUGUCUUCAGGUUGAUCUGGUGCAGAGAUGAUGAGUUCCUCUUCAGGAUGAGCUUUAGAAGGUAUGAUUUCUCCAGUUCCCAUUAGCUUGAUUGAUUCACUGGAUGGAACUUCAUCUAGCACAUUUGGCAGGUGCUCUCUUUGUGAACCGUUAGUCUCAUCGAACCGCACAUCCACGGUUUCAACCACUUUAUAAUGAAAGAGGUUGAAGACUCUGUAGGAGUGCGAAUCCUUUCCAUAUCCAAGCAUAAAACCCUCAUGUGCUUUUGGGGCAAACUUUGAAGUGUGAUGUGGGUCCUUGAUCCAGCACCUUGCGCCAAAUACUCUGAAGUAACUGGCAUUUGGCUUCUUGCCAGUGAGGAGCUCAUACGAUGUCUUGUUCAGAAGCUUGUGAAGAUAAACACGAUUGAUUGUAUGGCAUGCAGUAUCAAUGGCUUCAGGCCAGAAUUUUCUUGGAGUCUUGUAUUCAUCUAGCAUUGUUCUGGCCAUCUCAAUGAGUGUUCUGUUCUUGCAUUCGACGACGCCAUUCUGCUGUGGCGUGUACGGGGCUGAGAAUUCAUGUGUGAUGCCCAAGGUAUCAAGAUAUGUAUCAAGGCCAGUGUUCUUGAAUUCAGUGCCAUUGUCACUUUUGAUGUGCUUUAUCUUGGCACCAUAGUUGUUCAUUGCUCGAUUGGCGAAGCGUUUGAAGACAUCCUGCACUUCAGUCUUGUAAAGGAUUAUAUGCACCCAAGUGUAUCUAGAAUAAUCAUCAAUAAUGAAGAAGCCAUAGAGACAAGCAGUAGUAGUAAGAGUUGAGUAAUGAGUGGGACCGAAAAGAUCCAUGUGAAGCAGCUCGAAGGGUCGAGUAGUAGUCAUGAUUGUCUUCGAGGGAUGCUUGGCCCUCGUCAUCUUUCCUGCUUCACAGGCACCGCAUAAGUGAUCUUUCUUGAACUUGACGCCCUCAAUGCCUAUGACAUGCUUCUUCUUUGCCAGGGUGUGGAGGUUCCUCAUGCCAGCAUGCCCAAGCCUCCGAUGCCAGAGCCAGCAUUCUGAAGCUUUUGCUAGAAGACAUACGGCAAGUUGUGGUCCUGCUGAGAAAUCUACCACGUACAGAUCGUCUUUCCGAUACCCUUCAAACACUAGAGACUUGUCAGAUUCCAUUAGAACAAGGCAACAAUAUUUUCCAAAUAUUACGAUCAUGUUCAAAUCGCAUAGCAUUGAGACAGACAUUAAGUUGAAGCCAAGGGAUUCAACAAGCAUGACUUUAUCCAUGUGUUGAUCCUUUGAGAUUGCAACUCUACCUAGACCCAAUACCUUACUUUUACCAGUGUCAGCAAAUGUGAUGUGGCUCUUGUCGGAAGGACGUAAGGUUGAGUCCAUCAGAAGGCUUCUUUUGCCAGUCAUGUGAUUUGUACACCCACUAUCAGUAAUCCAUUCUGUAUACGCUGGUGUCGUACCCUACAGUGCAGUUAGGGGGAUAGGCUUCACGAAGAGAGUUGUGAAGCAAAAACAUUUGACGAACCAGUGGGUUAUGAAAGCUUAGAUCCAGAUUAGUACUGAUAGGGAGAGUAGCAAGCGAUUCAGGAACGAAGUACAUAGUAAGACCAUUCGGCAUUUGAUCUUGCGCCCUACAAGAUGUUUAAGGUCCCCAGCGAUAGCGUCAGAAGAUUUUGGUUUUCUGCUGGAGACCUUUCCCUGCAAAAGAGAGUUAAGCCUUCUUAACAACCCACAUCUUCAAGGGUGGCUUAGAAGCGAUAAGUCUAAGUGCAGAGUCUGAAAACUUUGGCUUUGGGGCUCUAGCAAAAAGUCUUGCAGGUGGACAAUAAUACUCAUAAGAAUAAGCAGAAUAGUUUUUGGUCUUAUGAACAUGGCGGUUCGAUGAACCGCGCUCAUAUUCAUAGGCCUGAGUAUGGUUUCCCUGCAAAACAUUUGCAUUAGUCCGACUCAGGUGAGUCCUCUGUCUGUAUGAAGCCUUUGGGCCAUAUGAAGCCUGUGGUCUGGGGUUUGUCUUCUUCAUCUAUGGUGUCAUGAUGACAUUCACAGGAAGAUUUUCCAAACACCUUUUGGGCACCCAGACCUUCUUCAUAGGCGGUCCAUUCCUGCAGUUAGUACCAAUGUACCUGGCAAAAACUUCACCAUUCUGAUUCUUAAAUAGUUUAUAGUUUGCAUCAAAGGAUUCAUCAAUGACAAUGGGGUUAGCACAAGUGAAGCCAGAUAGACUGGAUGGAUUUGCUGAAGGUUCCUUUGCAGCAACCCAUGUGGUUUUGGGAUACUGCUCGGGUUUCUAGUAAGAGCCAUCAGCAUUCAUUUUCCUUAUGAACCCAACACCCUCUUUCCUCGGGUUUCGGUUCAGAAUCUGCCUUUUGAGGACAUCACAUAGUGUCUGAUGCCCUUUAAGACUUUUGUACAUCCCUGUUUCAAGCAAUGUCUUCAACCUAGCAUUCUCAUCAGCAAUCGCAGUAGUAUCCUCAGUAGAGGGGUUAGUUACCACAUCAACAGUUGAAGAUAUUGCAACAGUAGCAGUAGUAGAACAUUCAGCAACAGAAGCAGCAUUAUCACGCUCAAUGCAUUUAAGACAUGGUGGUUCAAAUCCUUCCUGAGCGGAACUGAUCUGUUCGGCGCGAAGUGACUCGUUUUCCUUUUGAAGAUCUUCAUGAGCCGCUCUCAAUUUCUCAAGAUCUUGCUUCCUUUGAAGAUAAUCAUAGGAAAGCUUUUCAUGAGUUGUUGAGAGCGUUUCAUGACAACUUUCAAGUUCCUCAUAUUUAACGUGAAGAUUUUUUAUGUCUUGAAUUAAGGAUUCAGAUCGAGUCAUUUCAACGCCCAACAAAUCAUCGCUUUUGUCUAACAGUUUUUGAAUAUGUUCCAUGGCUUUCUGUUGUUCAGUUGCAAUUUUAGCAAGUGUUUUGUAGCUGGGUCUUGAAUCACAAUCAGAGUCAUCAUCACUAGAUGUUUGAUAGUGAGUAGUGCGUGUGUUUACCUUGGCACCGUGUGCCAUGAAGCAGUAGGUAGGAGCAGAGUCGUCCUUGUCAUUUGCAUCGGCGUCGGUGGUGAAGUCAUUGUCUUCAGUGUUGAAGAUGGACUUGGCAACGUAUGCUGUAGCCAGACUUGCAACACCAGAAUCGGACUCCUCCUCAGACUCCACCUCCGCCUCCUCAGACGCGGACUCCUCCUCUGAAUCCAUUUCCUUGCCAACAAACGCACGUGCCUUGCCAGAUGAGCUCUUCUUGUGUGAUGAAGACUUUGAGGAAGACUUGGAAGAAGACUUUGAGUAUUUCUUCUUCUUCUUGUCGUCAGAGUCAUAUUCCUUGCUCUUCUUCUUCUUUCUAUUCUCAUUGUCCCACUGCGGACACUCAGAGAUGAAGUGGCUAGUUUUCUUGCACUUGUGACAUGUUUUCUUCUUGUAGUCAUGAGCAGAAGCUUCAUCAUUCCUUGAGCUUGAUCGUGAAGACUUUCUGAAGCCUUUCUUCUUGGGGAAUCUUUGGAACUUCUUUACAAGCAUAGCAAGUUCCUUUCCAAUGUCUUCAGGAUCGUCAGAACUGCUGUCAGAUUCUUCUUCAGAUGAGGAGACAACUUUUGCCUUCAGGGCACGAGUUCGCCCAUAGUUUGGACCGUAGAUAUCUCUUUUCUCAGAAAGCUGAAACUCAUGUGUGUUGAGCCUCUCAAGUAUGUCGGACGGAUCGAGUAUCUUGAAAUCAGGUCGUUCUUGAAUCAUCAGGGCUAGGGUGUCAAACAAACUGUCAAGUGAUCUCAGUAGUGUCUUGACGACUUCAUGCUUGGUGAUCUCAGUGGCGCCGAGCGCUUGAAGCUCAUUUGUGAUGUCAGUGAGUCGGUCAAAUGUGAGCUGGACAUUCUCAUUGUCAUUUCGCUUGAAGCGGUUAAAGAGGUUGCGAAGAACGCUGAUUCUCUGAUCUCUCUGGGUUGAGACGCCUUCGUUGACCUUGGAGAGCUAGUCCCAGACCAGCUUCGAUGUUUCCAAAGUGCUCACACGGCCAUACUGUCCUUUGGUCAGAUGACCACAGAUAAUGUUCUUGGCAGUAGAGUCCAGUUGAACGAACUUCUUGACAUCAGCAACAGUGACACCUUCUCCAGCCUUGGGAACGCCGUUCUUGACGACAUACCAUAGGUCGACGUCAAUGGCUUCAAGAUGCAUGCGCAUCUUAUUCUUCCAGUAGGGAUAUUCAGUUCCAUCGAAGACGGGGCACGCAACGGAGACUUUAAUUAUCCCUGCAGUCGACAUAGCUAAAACUCCAGGUGGUUAAACCGAAUCACACAGAACAAGGGAGCACCUUGCUCUCAUACCAAUUGAAAGUGCAUUAUAUCGACUAGAGGGGGUGACUAGGCGAUUUUUAUGAAAGUCUUAAAAACAUGGAAGUUUCGAAGACAAAUGAUAGAAAUAAACCUAUUACCAUGCAGCGGAAGUUAGACUACACUAGAUAAACCAUAGUCAUGUAUUCAAUGAAGUGAAAGGACAAUGACUAAUAGUAGCUAGGUAGUAAGGAUCAGGCAGGAAGAUAUUAAGAAGCCAAACGGAUCACACAGUCACUCAGUGAAGACAAAAGAUAGAGCAAACAUACAAUGACUUCACACAGAGUAACAGUAAGUAAAGAGAAGGGAAGGAUGAAACCAGUGACUCGUUGAAGACAAAUAUUUGUUGGACCAGUUCCAGUUGCUGUGACAACUGUACGUCUGGUUAGGGCGGCUAGGUAUUUAAACCAAAGGACACAUAGUCCCGGACACCCAGUCCUGAACACGCAGCUCAGGACACCCAGUCCUCACAGUAUUCCCCUUGAGCUAAGGUCACACAGACCUCGCCCAAUCACUCUGGUAAGUCUUCAAGGUAGACUCCCAAACCUUCACAGACUUCGUUCACCGGCAAUCCACAAUGUCUCUUGGAUGCUAUAACGCGACGCCUAACUGGCUGGAGGAUGCACAGUCCUCAAGUGUAAUAAGUCUUCAUAUCACUCAGACAAGAAGACUUAAGUGAUGCCUAAUUCUCUUUGGCUCUGGGUGGUUAGGGCUUUAUCCUCGCAAGGAAUUCUCUCUCAAAGGCUUCGAGGUGGGUUGCUCUCAAACGACAAAAGCCGUACUCUGAAUCCGAGCAGCCAACCGUUUAUGGUUGUAGGGGGUGGGCUAUUUAUAGCCACUAGGCAACCCGACAUGAUUUGUCCGAAAUGACCCUGGGUCACUAAGGAACUGACACGUGUUCCAACGGUCAGAUUUCAAACUCACACGGCAACUUUACUUGGGCUACAAGCAAAGCUGACUUGUCCGACUCUGGACAAGAUUUGCUCUCAUAGUCUUCACUCGAAGACAUAGGUUUUUGUUUAAGCAUCACUUCAGUCAUUCUGACUGGUUCUCUUGGACCCCACUUAACAGUGCGGUGGUUCCUAUGACUCAACACAGAAGAAAAAGAACUACGAAAGAUCUAAGUCUUCGAGCUCCAUAGGCUUCAUGCAGUGUCUUCUCUUGUCAUAGUCUUCAAUGUGAAUAUCUUCAUAUACCACCUUUGACAUCAAUGUCUUCAUACAUUUUUAGGGGUCAUCUCUGGUGGGAAAACCAAAUCAAUGAGGUACUUCUACCUGUGUUAUCCUGCAAUUCUCAUAAACACAUUAGUCCCUCAACUAGGUUUGUCGUCAAUACUCCAAAACCAACUAGGGGUGGCACUAGAUGCACUUACACAGUCGUCUCUAAAGCAUAACCCCAAAAUGAUAGCAGUAAAUUAGUAAGAGACAUCAUAGAUCGCACCAUAUCUAAUAAAGUGCGGUUACGAUGUUCGGACACACCAUUAUGUUGUGGUGUUCCGUGUGGCGUGAGUUGCGAAACUGUUCUGCAUUGUUUCAAAUGAAGACCAAACACGUAACUCAAAUAUUCACCUCCACGAUCAGAUUGUAGAAACUUUAUUUUCUUGUUACGAUAUUUUUCCUCUUCACUCUGAAUUUUUUUGAACUUUUCAAAUGUUUCAGACUUAUGUUUCAUCAAGUAGAUAUACCCAUAUCUGCUCAAAUCAUCUGUGAAGGUCAGAAAAUAACAAUACCCGCCGCGAGCCUCAACACUCAUCGGACCGCAUACAUCCGUAUGUAUUAUUUCCAACAAGUCUAUUGCUCACUCCAUUGUUCCGGAGAAUGGAGUCUUAGUCAUCUUGCCCAUGAGGCAUGGUUCGCAAGCAUCAAGUGAUUCAUAAUCAAGUGAUUCCAAAAGUCCAUCAGCAUGGAGUUUCUUCAUGCGCUUUACACCAAUAUGACCUAAACGGCAGUGCCACAAAUAAGUUGCACUAUCAUUAUUAACCUUGCAUCUUUUGGCUUCAAUAUUAUGAAUAUGUGUGUCACUAUUGUCGAGAUUCAAUAAAAAUAGAUCACUCAUCAAGGGUGCAUGACCAUAAAAGAUAUUACUCAUAUAAAUAGAACAACCAUUAUUCUCUGAUUUAAAUGAAUAUCCGUCUCGCAUCAAACAAGAUCCAGAUAUAAUGUUCAUGCUUAACGUUGGCACCAAAUAACAAUUAUUCAGGUCUAAAACUAAUCCCGAUGGUAGAUGUAGAGGUAGCAUGCUGACGGCGAUCACAUCGACUUUGGAACCAUUUCCCACGCGCAUCGUCACCUCGUCCUUAGCCAAUCUUCGCUUAAUCCGUAGCCCAUGUUUCGAGUUGCAAAUAUGAGCAACAGAACCAGUAUCAAAUACCUAGGCGCUACUACGAGCAUUAGUAAGGUACACAUUAAUAACAUGUAUAUCAAAUAUACCUUUCACUUUGCCAUCCUUCUUAUCCAUCAAAUACUUGGGGUAGUUCCGCUUCCAAUGACCAGUCCCUUUGUAGUAGAAGCAUUCAGUCUCCGGCUUAGGUCCAGACUUGGGCUUCUUCACUUGAGCAACAACUUGCUUGUCAUUCUUCUUGAAGUUCCCCUUCUUCCCUUUGCCCUUUUUCUUGAUACUGGUGGUCUUGUUGACCAUCAACACUUGAUGCUCCUUCUUGAUUUCUACCUCUACAGCCUUUAGCAUUGCGAAGAGCUCGGGAAUUGUCUUAUCCAUCCCUUGCAUAUUAUAGUUCAUCAUGAAGCUUUUGUAGCUUGGUGGCAGUGAUUGAAGAACUCUGUCAAUGACACUAUCAUCAGGAAGAUUAACUCCUAGUUGAGUCAAGUGGUUGUGGUACCUGGACAUUUUGAGUAUAUGUUCACUAACAAAACUAUUCUCCUCCAUCUUACAGCUGUAGAACUUAUUGGAGACUUCAUAUCUCUCAAUCCGGGCAUUUGCUUGAAAAUUUUACUUCGACUCCUGGAACAUCUCAUAUGCUCCAUGAUGUUCAAAACGUUGUUGAAGUCCCGAUUCUAAGCCGUAAAGCAUGGCACACUAAACUAUCGAGUAGUCAUCGGCUUUGCUCUACCAGACGUUCAUAAUGUCCGGUGUUGCUUGAUACGUCUCCGUCGUAUCUACUUUUCCAAACACUUUUGUCCUUGUUUUGGACUCUAACUUGCAUGAUUUGAAUGGAACUAACCCGGACUGACGCUGUUUUCAGCAGAAUUACCAUGGUGUUAUUUAUGUGUAGAAAUAAAAGUUCUCGGAAUGACCUGAAACUUCAGGGAACGUCUUUUUGGAAAUAAUAAAAAAUCCUUGCAAAAGAUGAAGACCAGGGGGCCCACACCCUAGCCACGAGGGUGGGGGCGCGCCUGCCCCCCUAGGCGCGACCCCUACCUUGUGGGCCCCCUGGAGCUCCUCCGACCUCAACUCCAACUCUAUAUAUUUGCUUUCAGGGAGAAAAAAAUUAGAGAGAAGGAUUCAUCGCGUUUUACAAUACAGAGCCGCCGCCAAGCCCUAAAACCUCUCAGGAGGGCUGAUCUGGAGUCCGUUCGGGGCUCCGGAGAGGGGAAUCCGUCGCCAUCGUCAUCAUCAACCUUCCUCCAUCACCAAUUUCAUGAUGCUCACCGCCGUGCGUGAGUAAUUCCAUCAUAGGCUUGCUGGACGGUGAUGGGUUGGAUGAUAUUUAUCAUGUAAUCGAGUUAGUUUUGUUAGGGUUUGAUCCCUAGUAUCCACUAUGUUGUGAGAUUGAUGUUGCUAUGACUUUGCUAUGCUUAAUGCUUGUCACUAGGGCCCGAGUGCCAUGAUUUCAGAUCUGAACCUAUUAUGUUUUCAUCAAUAUAUGAGUGUUCUUGAUCCUAUCUUGCAAGUCUAUAGUCACCUACUAUGUGUUAUGAUCUGGCAACCCCGAGGUGACAAUAAUAGGGACCACUCCCGGUGAUGACCGUAGUUUGAGGAGUUCAUGUAUUCAUUAUGUGUUAAUGCUUUGGUCUGGUACUCUAUUAAAAGGAGGCCUUAAUAUCCCUUAGUUUCCGCUAGGACCCCGCUGCCACGGGAGGGUAGGACAAAAGAUGUCAUGCAAGUUCUUUUCCAUAAGCACGUAUGACUAUAUUCGAAAUACAUGCCUACAUUACAUUGAUGAAUUGGAGCUAGUUUUGUGUCACCCUAGGUUAUGACUGUUACAUGAUGAACCGCAUCCGGCGUAAUUCUCUAUCACCGAUCCAUUGCCUACGAGCUUUCCAUAUAUUGUUCUUCACUUAUUUACUUUUCCGUUGCUAUUGCUAUCAUCACUACAAAAUACCAAAAACAUUAAUUUUGCUAUCGUUACCUUUUGCUACCGUUACCACUACUAUCAUAUUACGUUGCUACUAAACACUUUACUACAGAUAUUAAGUUUCUAGGUGUGGUUGAAUUGACAACUCAACUUUCAACUGCUAAUACUUGAUAAUAUUCUUUGGCUCCCCUUGUGUCGAAUCAAUAAAUUUGGGUUGAAUACUCUACCCUCGAAAACUGUUGCGAUCCCCUAUACUUGUGGGUUAUCAAGACUAUUUUCUGGCGUCGUUGCCGGGGAGCAUAGCUCUAUUCUUUGAGUCACUUGGGAUUUAUAUCUGUUUAUCAUUAUGAAGAACUUGAGAGAUCCAAAAACCAAGAUUUAUCUCUCAACUACGAGGGGAGGUAAGGAACUGCCAUCUAGCUCUGCACUUGAUUCACCUUCUAUUUUGAGUAAGCUUGCGACACCUAAACCUGCUUCUGCUAUUCAUUCUGAUAUGUCGCAUGUUAUUAAUGAUGCCACUUGUGCUAUGCAUGAUACUUAUGAUGAAACUACUUCUAUGCUUGAUACUACUGUGCCACUUGGUGAAUUUCUUGAUGAACAACUUGCUAGGGUUAGAGAGAAUGAAAUUAUUGAAACUGAUAAUAUAUAUAUAUAUAUUUGAAUAUAUACUGUAGGGUAAAACCCCCACAGCCCUUUAUUGCAGUCUCAAAAAACAAACUGUACAGUGAAAGAAAGAGAUGACAAGCCUAAACGAAAAGUUAAGAAGAACUUACAAUUACAUGAGGGAGUUAACUCAAUCUACAAGCCUAGACUUAGAGCUAUCCUUAAACCUAUGUGACAGGAGAAGAAUGUCAUGUACAAAACUGCCCCUCCAGGCAACAAAAGUAGCCCGUAGUCCCCUGAAAGUUCUUCCAUUUCUCAGAAUCCAUAUAUUCCAAGCAGCUGUGAGCAUAACUUCAAAGAAGAAAGGAUACCCAAAUCGCUGCCUUGCUUGAGAUAUACAUUGCUGAAUAGAAGAACCAUGUGACCAAUCGAUCUGCAGGUAUUUCCAAACCCUGGCACUGAAAUUACAACCAAAGAAUAGGUGAGCCCUGUCCUCCCAAACAAAGGCAUUACAGAUGACACAUAGAUGAUCAGCCGUAGGGGACCUCCGGUGGCUGCGGACCAGCACGUCCUUUGUGUUGAGUCUGUCAAAGAAUAGGAGCCAGCCAAAAACCUUAAUUUUCAUAGUACAUAUGCUCUGCCAAAGCCACCUGCAGGGUUUAAUAGUUGGGAGGUGUGUAUGCAUGAUGUCAUAGAAGCUCUUUGCAGAAAACUGUCCAGAUUUACCAGGCCAAAUCCAAACAUCAGGCAAUGUUGGAUCUCUCUGGAGAUUGAACAUCCUUCCUUCCAAGGAUUCCAAUUCUGCUGCUGCCUGCUGAGAAAUUGGCAGAUGAAACAUUGAGAACAAAUCCUGGGUUUGCAAAAACUCCCUGACAGAAACCUUAUCAUCCAAAACAAAAGAGAAAAGCCUUGGUAAUCUGAGGCUUAGUGGCCUUGAAGAGCCACCUACAUGGCAAGCAUCCAGCCAAAAGAGAGCAGAAUCACCCAUAUUAACUGGCACUGAAGCAAUUGACCUAUAAGUGUCAGCAAGCUUGAGAAUGUCCUUCCACCAAAAGGAGCCAGUUAGGACUGUUGCAUGGGGCACCACUCCAUCAUAAUAACUAUCCCAAAUCAACUGGACCCAAGGAAUCUGCUGUUUGUUGUAGAACUUAUGCAUUUGUUUGAGAAGCAGACCUUGAUUUUGAACAUUGAGGUUGAGAAUGCCAAGUCCUCCCUUAUCCUUUGGUCUGCAAACUAAAUCACAGGCAGCUAGGGAUUGCUUAGGCACAUCAGAAUUUCCUCUCCACAAACACUGCCUGAAAAUCCUAUCCAACUGUUUGAUAAUACCAGGUGGGAUAUGCAAGCUGCAGAGGAAGUAUAUGGGCAUUGAAGUAAGCACAGAUGUGAGAAAUUGUAACCUGGAUCCUUGGUUGAGCAUGGCAGAGCUAACAGACAGUCUUCUUUCAAGACUAUCCACUAAAGGCAUGAAAUCAAUGAUUCUAGGUCUUGUUGUACCAAGAGGCAAACCCAGAUAUGUGAAAGGUAACUGCUCCGGUUUACAUCCCAGGAUGGAAGACAACCUCUGUGCCUCUGUGGGAUCAACAUUUAGUGGCACCAUUGAAGACUUUCCAAAAUUUACCUUUAGGCCAGUAGACUGUUGGAAAAUAUGGAGCAUGUUCUUGAGAGCCACCAACUGGUCCUGUACUGCAGAAAGGAUAAUUAUUGUGUCAUCUGCAUACUGAAUGAUAGGAAAUUCAGGGUCCUAAGAUGGGAUUGGAAGUGUUAGAACUCCCUUAGCCAGCAUGUUAUUGACCAUUGUUUGAAGAAGAUCGGCAGCUAUGACAAAUAAAAGAGGGGAUAGGGGAUCCCCCUGCCUGACCCCACAUUUAUAUUUGAACUGUUUGCCAGGCACCCCAUUAAGCAAAACAGAUGAUGAUCCUGAGGAGAGAAUCUCUUUAAUCCAAGAAAUCCAUUUGGCAUCAAAACCUUUGUGCUGUAGAACUUGCAAGAUGAAGUCAUGCUCCACAGUGUCAAAAGCUUUGGCAAAAUCCAAUUUCAAAAUGAUGGUUGGCCUUUUGGAUUGAUUGCAUUGAUGUAUAUAUUCAAAAGCCCAAGCCAGGCAGUCCUGAAUGGCUCUGCUCUUCAAAAACCCAUAUUGAUUCUUAUGGAUGCAUUGCAGAAUGACCUUUUGAAGCCUAUUUCCCAAAAGCUUAGUAAGGAACUUGAGGCAUGUGUUAGUAAGAGAGAUUGGUCUAAAAUCCUCAAGUCCUUCAGGAGACAACAUCUUUGGAAUUAAGGUGAUAAGGGAUCCAUUAAUAUUUUCCAAAGAUAGCCUCCCAUCAUAAAACCCCUGAAUGAGAGCCAAGAAAUCCUUCUCAAUGAUGGGCCAACACUUCUUAACAAAAAGACCAUUAAAACCGUGAAAGUGAUGAUGAAGAUUCUCCCCCUAAUAAAUAUGAAUUGCCUGUUGUGCCUGAGGGCUAUGUUAUGGAUGAAGAAAUUGCUAAAGCUAUUUUUGUUUGCAAAGAUAGAUAUGAUCUUAAGAAGUUAUUAGCUAAAUGGAAGCAGCAAUCUCUUAAUGCUAGAAUGAAACCUGACCCUGCUUUUGCUACUUCACCUAUCUGUGUUACUGAUAAGGAUUAUGAAUUCUCUGUUGAUCCUGAUAUAAUUACUUUGGUUGAAUCUGAUCCUUUUCAUGGCUAUGAGUCUAAAACUGUUGUGGCACAUCUUACUAAAUUAAAUGAUAUAGCCACCCUAUUCACUAAUGAUGAGAGAACUCGUUACUUUUAUAUCCUUAAAAUAUUCCUGUUCUCAUUAAAGGGUGAUGCUAAGAUAUGGUUUAAUUCUCUUGAUCCUGGUUGUGUGCGUAGUCCCCAGGAUAUGAUUUAUUACUUCUCUGCUAAAUAUUUCACUGCUCAUAAGAAACAAGCUGCUUUGAGGGAUAUAUAUAAUUUUGUGCAAAUUGAAGAAGAGAGUCUCCCACAAGCUUGGGGGAGGCUUCUCCAAUUACUUAAUGCUUUGCCUGAUCAUCCUCUUAAGAAAAAUGAAAUAUUGGAUAUAUUUUAUAAUGGACUAAGUGAUGCUUCCAGAGAUUACCUGGAUAGUUGUGUUGGUUCUGUUUUCAAGGAAAGAACACCGGAUGAAGCUGAAAUUCUAUUGAAUAAUAUGUUGACAAAAGAAAAUAAUUGGACACUUCCUGAGCCAGCUCCUGAGCCUAUUCCUAAACCAACUCCGAAGAAGAGGGGUAUUCUAUUUCUCAGUCCUGAAGAUAUGCAAGAGGCAAAGAAAUCCAUGAAAGAAAAGGGUAUUAAAGCUGAAGAUGUUAAGAAUUUACCUCCUAUUGAAGAAAUACACGGUCUUAAUUUACCGCCUGUUGAAGAAACAUAUGAUCUUAAUCCAUUACCUAUUGAAGAAAUACAUGGUCUUGAUAACCCGACACAAGUAGUAAAGGUAAACUCUCUCUAUAGAUAUGAUAAAAUUGAAAUCCCUCUUACUAAGUUUGCUAGCCAAUGCUUAGAUGAGUUUGAUAAUUUUAUGGUGAAGCAAGAAGAUUUUAAUUCUUAUUUUGGUAGACAAUUGAAAUACAAUUCAAAUAUGCUUGAACACUUGGGUGAUUAUAUGGCUAAUGUUAAAGGUGAAAUUAAACUUAUUAGCAAACAUGCUUCUAUGGUUACCACUCAAGUAGAACAAGUACUUAAAGCUCAAAAUGAUUUGCUCAAUGAACUGAAUAGUAAGAAUAAUGAUAAUGCUGUUAGAGUUAUGACUAGAGGUGGUAAAAUGACUCAAGAACCUUUGUAUCCUGAAGGCCAUCAUAAGAGAAUUGAGCAAGAUUCUCGGAGAAAUAAUAUAGAUGCACCUAGUUCUUCUAAAAGGAAGAAAAAGAAAAAUGAUAGGACUUUGCAUGCUUCUAGUGAACCUAUUGAUGAAACACCUGAGAAUCCAAAUGAUAUUUCUAUUUCUGAUGCUGAAACACAAUCUGGUAAUGAACCUGAAACUAGUGAUAAUAUUAAUGAUAAUGUUCAUGUUGAUGCUCAACCUAGCAAUGAUAAUGAUAUAGAAAUUGAACCUGUUGUUGAUCUUGAUAACCCACAAUCAAAGAAUCAACGUUAUGAUAAGAGAGACUUUGUUGCUAGGAAACAUGGUAAGGAAAGAGAGCCUUGGGUUCAGAAACCCAUGCCUUUUCCUCCCAAACCAUCCAAGAAAAAGGAUGAUGAGGAUUUUGAGCACUUUGCUGAAAUGAUUAGACCUACCUUUUUGCGUAUGCGAUUAACUGAUAUGCUUAAAAUGAAUCCUUAUGCUAAGUACAUGAAAGAAAUUGUUACUAAUAAAAGAAAGAUACCGGAAGCUGAAAUUUCCACCAUGCUUGCUAAUUAUACUUUUAAAGGUGGAAUACCUAAGAAACUAGGAGAUCCCGGAGUACCAACUAUACCAUGCUCCAUUAAAAGAAAUUAUGUUAAAAUUGCUUUAUGUGAUCUUGGAGUCGGUGUUAGUGUUAUGCCUCUCUCUUUAUAUCAUAGACUUGAUUUGAAUAAGUUGACACCUACUAAAAUAUCUUUGCAAAUGGCUGAUAAAUCAACUGCUAUACCUAUCGGUAUUUGUGAGGAUGUGCCUGCUGUGGUUGCAAACGUUACUAUUUUAAUGGACUUUGUUAUUCUUGAUAUUCCCGAGGACGAUAGUAUGUCUAUUAUUCUUGGAAGACCCUUUUUGAAUACUGCAGGGGCUGUUAUUGAUUGCAACAAAGGCAAUGUCACUUUUCAUGUUAAUGGUAAUGAGCAUACGGUACACUUUCCGAGGAAACAACCUCAAGUCCACAGUAUCAAUUCUAUUGGAAAAAUUCAAUCGAUUAUUUUUGAAGGUUUUGAAUUUCCUCUUCCUACUGUCAAAAGAAAUAUGAUAUUCUUAUUAUUGGGGAUGUGCAUAUCCCCGUUGAGGUAACAUAGUGUUAUUCGAAAUUCCUCCGGUUCCAUGUUAUUCGGAAUGAGUUUGCUAACAAGACUUGAUCAACCAUGUUAACGGAUUCCUUUUGAUGAGCAUGAGAUGGAUGAAACUAGAAGGCACAACUCUCCGUACCCUCCUUUUACUUUCUGUUAUUUAUAUUAAAUAAAAUUAAAAGAAGUAUUUUCCGUCUGUUAUCUGAUUUAUCCGUGCAAUAUAAAAUACCCCGAAAAUAAAAGUUCUCCAAAUGCCUUGAAAUUUAAAUAUGAUUUUUUCUGGAAUAUUUGAGAAUAUUUGGCACUAAGAACACAACACAGGGGGCAUCCACCUGGCCACGAGAGUGGAGGGCGCGCCCUACCCCCCCUGUGCGUGCCCCUUGCCUCGUGGGCCCACGGUGGCCCUCCUCCACUUAUUCCUGCACCCACACACUCCUUCCUCCCAUAAACACGAUUAUCCAGUUCGAACCCAAGUCCAAGCUCAUUUUGCUGCUAUUUUCGAUCUCCUUGCUCAAAGCACCUCUCACAAAACUGCUUGGGGGGAUUGUUCCUUGGUAUGCGACUCCUCCAUUGGUCCAAUUAGUUUUUGUUCUAGUGCUUUAUUCAUUGCAAAUUUAUGUUGUCUAGGUGCCCAUGUUCCUGAGCUUGCAUGUCAAAUUUAUGUGGUUCCAACUAGUUUUGAUGCAUGAUAUAGGCUCUAGGCACUUGUAGGAGUUGUUGCUAUCAAUUUUGUUGAGCUUGGCUCACUUUUAUUUGAAGUUACUAAAAAUUUCAGAAUUUUUCAGAAAAUAAUGAAGAGAUUUUUGAGGGGCUCAUCAAGCCGAAGCUCGAAGGAAAAGCAAAAUGAAAAAGCAGAGAGGCCCGAAUAUAAUCUGCCUCGCACCGCAGAGGUUCGGCCGUGUGAAUGGCCUUCCAAUGAUUUCUUGAGAGCAGUCGGGAUUUAUGAUGAUUUUUAUGAAUUGGCUGAGAAUGUAGGCCUCACCGCCUUCCUCCAUGACCAACGCGAACAAUAUCUCUUACUCACCAAUAUCUUUGUGCAAAACUUUCAUUUCCAUGCUAGGAGCUCACCACCUACGGUGGAGUUUUAUUUGUAUGAUGAGCACAAGGAGAUGUCACUUUACGAUUUCUGUCGGGUUUGAUUGAUCCCUUUCGAGGGCACAAUAGAGGAACCACACCGCGGUGAUGUGGAUGGGUUUAUAGAUACCAUCACUGUAGGGGAAACGAGGAAGGUUUCCGAUGCACGAAUCACUAGCAUACAUUUUCCUGUUUUACGCUACUUUGCAAUAUUUGCUAGUCGUUGCUUAAUUGGUCGCGAAAACUGUGGAAACCUUAGUGUUCCUGAUAUUAUUAUUUUGUUCCACGGUUUAUUCUGUGAUAAAUCUGUUAGUAUGGGCGGUAUUAUUGCUAAACGGUUAAGUCUCAACUGUACAAAGGGCCCCAUCUUUGGAGGCAUCUAUGCUUCACGCCUAACUGCGCAUUUUAACAUACCUAUUAAGCAUUAUGAGAAGGAAGAAAAAUUGCUGCCCCUGUUUAUUUAGAUUAUAAGAGUAUGGUGGCACACGAUUUUAUUGUUAAGAAUAGGAAAGGGGAGCUUAAAUACAAAUUGUUCUUUGAUAAACAUCAUCCUGAGACUAUUACCCUGCCUACUCCUUCCUUGUUUGAUUUAUCUCCAGGCAAGUACCUUGUUCCGUUAGAGGCUAUUCACGCCUACCGGAACAUUGCAUCAGCCACAGAGCCAGAGUCGGAACCACUAGUUGAUCCUCCACGACAGUCUAAUUACCAUUGGGAUCCAGAAAUGAUAGCCACCAGUGGAAAUCAGAGUCUUCUUCGCAGUACGACCCCAACUAUUACUAUGGAUAUCCGCCAGGCCAGCCGUGGCCAUAGACCAACUUAGGUCAAAAGCCUAAACUUGGGGGAGUACGUAUUUCCCGCCGACAUUACAUUCAUGUUCGCACACUCAUUGCUAGAUGUCGGUGCUCAUACUUUUUCAUUGUAUCAUCCAUGCUAGUUCAUUUCCUUUUUAAGCUUUCUUCUUGUGUGUUUAAUAAACCUUAAGAAAAACCAAAAAAACUAGUUGUAGCUUUUAGCUAGUUUUAAUUUCCAUGCUUGUAGUAGUAAUUAAAAAGAAAACCCAAAAAAAGAUUUCUUGUUCUUGUUUUGCUCGUUGGGAGCUUUCCCGUGUAAAUAGUUUUAUUUCUUUUCUUUGGGGGUCGAUAGGAGAAUACCAUGAUUAAAUUGUUGAAGUGGCUCUUAUAUAUAUUUUUUAUCUGACAAAAGAGCCCAUAUUGCCUUGUCUUCUCCAGUUUAUUGAAUGCUUGCAGAUUCCAGCUUAGUCCAAUGCACGCGCACUAUUAUUAUUAUCCACAUCGUUCGGUCGUGCAAGUGAAAGGCAAUUAUGACAAUAUAUGAUGGACUGACUGAGAUGAGAAAAGCUGGUAUAAACUCAACCUCUCUUGUUUUUGUAAAUAUGAUUAGUUCAUCGUUCCUGAUUCAGCCUAUUAUGAAUAAACAUGUUUGCAAUGACAACUAGAGAUCAUAGUUUCUUGUGCCAUGCUUGAUUAGCUAGGAGCUUAUAAUGGUUUACCUUGCGUGCCAACAUGCUAUUAAAAUGGUUGUGAUGUGGUAUGAUAGGGUGGUAUCCUCCUCUGAAUGAUUUGAGUGGCUUGACUUGGCACAUGCUCACGCAUGUAGUUGAAAUAAAAUCAACAUAUCCUCUACGAUAUUUAUGUUCAUGGGGAAUUAUAUCCUACUCAUGCUUGCAUUUGGUGUUGAUUAAUUUUAAUGCAUGUUUAUGAGUGUUGUCGCUCUCUAGCUGGUUGCUUCCCAGUCUUUUGCUAGCCUUCACCUGUACUAAGCGGGAAUACUGCUUGUGCAUCCAAUCCCAUAAACCCCAAAGUUAUUCCAUAUGAGUCCACCAUACCUACCUAUUUACGGUAUCUACCUGCCGUUCCAAGUAAAUUUGUAUGUGCCAAACUCUAAACCUUCAAAUAAAUAUCAUGUUUUGUAUGCUCGAAUAGCUCAUGUAUCAACUAGGGCUGUCUGUAUCUUCCAUGUUAGGCGGGUUAUUCUCAAGAGGAGUGGACUCCGCUCCUCACUCACGAGAAAAUGGCUGGUCACCGGGAUGCCCAGUCCCAUGCUUUAUGCAAAUCAAAUCAAAAUAAUUGCAAACAAAACUCUCCCUAGGACUCUUGUUAGUUGGAGGCACUCGUUGUUUUGAGCAAGCCAUGGAUUGAUGCUUGUUAGUGGAAGGGGAGUAUAAACUUUACCAUUCUGUUUGGGAACCGCCUAUAAUGUGUGUAGCAUAGAAUAUAUCGCCCUCUCUUGGUUGUUAUGUUGACAAUGAAAGUAUACUGCUCAAAAUAUUAUUCACCUCUAUUUCAAAACCGAGCUCUGGCACCUCUACAAAUCCCUGCUUCCCUCUGCGAAGGGCCUAUCUAUUUACUUUUAUGUUGACUCAUCAUCCUCUUAUUAAAAAUCACAAGUUGGAGAGCACCGCUGUCAUUUGCAUUCAUUACUGUUAGUUUACAUUGAGUAUGACUGGACUGGAUCUCUUUUACCAUGAAUUACAAUGUCUAGUCAGUCCUUGAUCUUUAAAGGUGCUCUGCAUUUAUGUUUUGCGGUCUCAGAAAGGGCUAGCGAGAUACCAUCUUGUUAUAUCAUAUCAUGAUUGUUUUGAGAAAGUGUUGUCAUCUGAGAUUUAUUAUAUUGCUCGCUAGUUGAUUAUGCCAUUGAUAUGAGUAAACAUGAGACCUAAAUGUUAUUGUGAAUAUGGUUAGUUCAUAAUCUUUGCUGAAAACUUGAAUGCUGGCUCUACAUAUUUACAACAACAAGAGCAAACAGAGUUUGUAAAAGUUUUUCUUUAUCACUUUCAGCUUAUCAACUGAACUGCUUGAGGACAAGCAAAGGUUUAAGCUUUGGGCAGUUGAUACGUCUUCGUCGUAUCUACUUUUCCAAACACUUUUGCCCUUGUUUUGGACUCUAACUUGCAUGAUUUGAAUGGAACUAGCCCGGACUUACGCUGUUUUCAGCAGAAUUGCCAUGGUGUUAUUUUUGUGCAGAUAUAAAAGUUCUCGGAAUGACCCGAAAAUCAACGGAGAAUUAUUUUGGAAUACAUAAAUAAUACUGGAAGGAAGAUCCACGUCAGGGGGGCCUCCACCUGUCCACGAGGGUGGGGGCGCGCCCUACCCCCCUGGUGCUACCUCUUGAGCACUGCGUUGGUUUUCCCUUGAAGAGGAAAGGGUGAUGCAGUAAAGUAGCGUAAGUAUUCCCCUCAGUUUUUGAGAACCAAGGUAUCAAUCCAGUAGGAGAUCACGCUCGAGUCCCACGCACCUACACAACCAAAUAAGAACCUCGCAACCAACGCGAUAAAGGGGUUGUCAAUCCCUUCACGGUCACUUACGAGAGUGAGAUCUGAUAGAUAUGGUAAGAUAAUAUUUUGGUAUUUUUAUGAUAAAGAGAAAUAAAGAUGCAAAGAAAAAUAAACGGCAAUAGAAAUAACUAAGUAUCACCUGGGCGCACCCCCUGCCUCGUGGGCCCCCUGACGCUCCACCAACCUCAACCCUGACUUCAUAUAUUCACUUUCGGGGAGAAAAAACCAGAGAGAAAGAUUCAUCACAUUUUACGAUACGGAGCCGCCGCCAAGCCCUAAACUCUCUCGGGAGGGCUGAUCUGGAGUCCGUUCGGGGCUCCGAAGAGGGGAAUCCAUCGCCAUCAUCAUCAUCAACCUUCCUCCAUCACCAAUUUCAUGAUGCUCACCGUCGUGCGUGCAUAAUUCCAUCGUAGGCUUGCUGGACGGUGAUGGGUUGGAUGAGAUUUAUCAUGUAAUCGAGUUAGUUUUGUUAGGGUUUGAUCCCUAGUAUCCACUAUGUUCUGAGAUUGAUGUUGCUAUGACUUUGCUAUGCUUAAUGCUUGUCACUAGGGCCCGAGUGCCAUGAUUUCAGAUCUGAACCUAUUAUGUUAUCAUCAAUAUAUGAGCGUUCUUGAUCCUAUCUUGCAAGUCUAUAGUCACCUACUAUGUGUUAUGAUCCGGCAACCCCGAAGUGACAAUAAUCGGGACCACUCCUGGUGAUGACCGUAGUUUGAGGAGUUCAUGUAUUCACUAUGUGUUAAUGCUUUGGUCCGGUACUCUAUUAAAAGGAGGCCUUAAUAUCCCUUAGUUUCUGCUAGGACCCCGCUUCCACGGGAGGGUAGGACAAAAGAUGUCAUGCAAGUUCUUUUCCAUAAGCACGUAUGACUAUAUUCGGAAUACAUGCCUACAUUACAUUAAUGAAUUGGAGCUAGUUCUAUGUCACCCUAGGUUAUGAUUGUUACAUGAUGAACCGCAUCCGACAUAAUUCUCUAUCACUGAUCCAUUGCCUACGAGCUUUCCAUAUAUUGUUCUUCGCUUAUUUACUUUUCCAUUGCUAUUGCUAUCAUCACUACAAAAUACCAAAAACAUUACUUUUGCUAUCGUUACCUUUUGCUGCCGUUACCACUACUAUCAUAUUACUUUGCUACUAAACACUUUGCUGCAGAUAUUAAGUUUCCAGGUGUGGUUGAAUUGACAAGUCAGCUGCUAAUAGUUGAGAAUAUUCUUUGGCUCCCCUUGUGUUGAAUCAAUAAAUUUGGGUUGAAUACUCUACCCUUGAAAACUGUUGCGAUCCCCUAUACUUGUGGGUUAUCAUUGCUCCUGCAGCGGGUCUUGCACAUAGCGGUGCUUCCAGGACGUAAUUCUUCUGUGUAGCAAUGAGGAUAAUCCUCAAGUUACGGACCUAGUCCAUGUAGUUGCUACCAUCAUCUUUCAACUUAGGUUUCUCUACGAACGCAUUAAAAUUCAAAGGGACAUUAGCACGGGCCAUUGAUCUACAACAACAUAGACAUGCAAACUACUAUCAGGUGCUAAGUUCAUGAUAAAUUAAAGUUCAAUUAAUCAUAUUACUUAAGAACUCCCACUUAGAUAGACAUCCCUCUAGUCAUCUAAAUGAUCACGUGAUCCAUAUCAACUAAACCAUGUCCGAUCAUCUCGUGAGAUGGAGUAGUUUCAAUGGUGAACAUCACUAUGUUGAUCAUAUCUACUAUAUGAUUCACGCUCGACCUUUCGGUCUCAGUGUUCCGAGGCCAUAUCUGCAUAUGCUAGGCUCGUCAAGUUUAACCCGAGUAUUCUGCGUGUGCAAAACUGGCUUGCACCCGUUGUAUGUGAACGUAGAGCUUAUCACACCCGGUUAUCACGUGGUGUCUCGGCACGACGAACUAUAGCAAUGGUGCAUACUCAGAGAGAACACUUGUACCUUGAAAUUUAGUGAGAGAUCAUCUUAUAAUGCUACCGCCGUACUAAGCAAAAUAAGAUGCAUAAAGGAUAAACAUCACAUGCAAUCAAAAUAAGUGAUAUGAUAUGGCCAUCAUCAUCUUGUGCCUUUGAUCUCCAUCUCCAAAGAACCGUUAUGAUCACCAUCAUCACCGGCUUGACACCUUGAUCUCCAUCGUAGCAUCGUUGUCAUCUCGCCAACUAUUGCUUCUACGACUAUCGCUACCACUUAGUGAUAACGUAAAGCAAUUACAUGGCGAUUGCAUUUCAUACAAUAAAGCGACAACCAUAAGGCUCCUGCCAGUUGCCGAUAACUUUUACAAAACAUGAUCAUCUCAUACAACAACUUAUAUAUCAUCACGCAAAAACAAGUUAGACGUCCUCUACUUUGUUGUUGCAAGUUUUACGUGGCUGCUACAGGCUUCUAGCAAGAACCGUUCUUAUCUACGCAUCAAAACCACAAUGAUUUUUCAUCAAGUGUGUUGUUUUAACCUUCAACAAGGACCGGGCGUAGUCAAACUCGAUUCAACUAAAGUUGGAGAAACAGACACCCAGUAGCCACCUGUGUGUGAAGCACCUCGAUGGAACCAGUCUCAUGAACGCGGUCAUGUAAUGUCGGCCUGAGCUGCUUCAUCCAACAAUACCGCCAAAUCAAAGUAAGACGUUGCUGGUAAGAAGUAUGACUAUUAUCGUCCACAACUCAUUGUGUUCUACUCGUGCAUAUAACAUCUACGCAUAGACCUGGCUCGGAUGUCAUUGUUGGGGAACGUAGUAUUUCAAAAAAAAUCAUACGAUCACGCAAGAUAUAUCUAGGAGAAGCAUAGCAAUGAGCGGGGAGAGUGUGUUCACGUACCCUCGUAGACCGAAAGCGGAAGCGUUUAGUAACACGGUUGAUGUAGUCGAACGUCUUUGCGAUCCAAUCGAUCCAAACACCAAACGUACGACACCUCCGCGUUCAGCACACGUUCAGCUUGAUGACAUCCCUCGAGCUCUUGAUCCAGUUGAGGCCGAGGGAUAGUUCCGUCAGCACGAUGGCGUGGCGACGGUGAUGAUGAAGUUACCGGCGCAGGGCUUCGCCUAAGAACUACGACGAUAUGACCGAGGUGUGUAACUGUGGAGGGGGGCAACGCCCACGGCUAAGAGAAACUUGUGUCUUUGGGGUGCCCCCCUCCCACGUAUAUAAAUGGGGGGAGGAGGCCGGCCCAAAGGGGGGCGCGCCACAUGUUGGGGGUCCUACUAGGACUCCCUAGUCCUAGUAGGAUUCCCCUCUCCUUUCCUUUUACGGAAGGGGGAAAGGGGGGAAGGAGAGGAGGGGAAGAGGGAAAGGGGGCACGCCCCCUCCCCUUCCUAUUCGGACUCCACUUGGGGGGACGCGCACGCCUCCCCCUUGUGGGUUGUACCCUCUUCUCUCCCAUGGCCCAUAAGGCCCAUGAUUUCCCCCGGGGGGUUCCGGUAACCUCCCGGUACUCCAGAAAAAUGCUCGAAUCACUCGGAAUCAUUCUGAUGUUUGAAUGCAACCUUCCAAUAUAUGAAUCUUUACCUCUCGACCAUUUCUGUGAUCUCAUCCGGGACUCCGGACAAACUUCAGUCAUCAAAUCACAUAACUCAUAAUACAAAUUGGCACGAACGUUAAGCAUGCGGACCCUAUGGGUUUGAGAACUAUGUAGACAUGACUGAGACACAUCUCCGGUCAUUAACCAAUAGCGGAACCUGGAUGCUCAUAUUGGCUCCUACAUAUUCUACGAAGAUCUUUAUCGGUCAAACCGCAUAACAACAUACGUAGUUCCCUUUGUCAUAUGUAUGUUAUUUGCCCGAGAUCCGAUCGUCGGUAUCCCCAUACCUAGUUCAAUCUCGUUACCGUCAAGUAUCUUUACUUGUUCCGUAAUGCAUCAUCAUGUAACUAACUCAUUAGUCACAUUGCUUGCAAGGCUUAUAGUGAUGUGCAUUACCGAGAGGGCUUAGAGAUACCUCUCUGAUACACGAAGUGGCAAAUCCUAAUCUCGAUCUAUGCCAACUCAACAAACACCAUCAGAGACACCUGUAGAGCAUCUUUAUAAUCACCCAGUUACAUUGUGACGUUUGAUAGCACACUAAGUGUUCCUCCGGUAUUCGGGAGUUGCAUAAUCUCAUAGUCAUAGGAACAUGUAUAAGUCAUAAAGAAAGCAAUAGCAAUAAAAUUAAACGAUCAUUAUGCUAAGAUAACGGAUGGGUCUUGUCCAUCACAUCAUUCUCUAAUGAUGUGAUCCCGUUCAUCAAAUGACAACACAUGUCUAUGGUUAGGAAACUUAACCAUCUUUGAUUAACGAGCUAGUCUAGUAGAGGCAUACUAGGGACACUCUGUUUGUCUAUGUAUUCACACAUGUACUAAGUUUCUGGUUAAUACAAUUCUAGCAUGAAUAACAAAGAUUUAUCAUGAUAUAAGGAAAUAUAAAUAACAACUUUAUUAUUGCCUCUAGGGCAUAUUUCCUUCAGGAAGAGCAUCGCGGGUGGGAGGGAGAAGGGGAAUUAAGAGAGUGUGGGUUUGGGUUUGGGCCUCCGCGUGCUAUGUGUACACAUGUGUUGGUGGGUCGAUAGUAGUGGUCCUGGGUUUAUACCCCACGCUACUACUAUGGCCUAUCCCGGGGGUACGGUAGAGACCGCUUAGUAGUAGCGAGGGAUUUAUACCCCUCACUACUACUAUCAACUUAGUAGUAGUGAGGGAUUUAUACCCCUCGCUACUACUAUCAACUUAGUAGUAGUGAGGGAUUUAUACCCCUCGAUACUACUAUGGCCAGUCCCGGGGGGCACGGUGGAGACCACUUAGUAGUAGUGUGGGGUUUAUACCCCUCGCUACUACUAUCAACUUAGUAGUAGUGUGGGUUCUAUACCCCUCGCUACCAAUAAUUAGCAGCAGUGUGGCCCAUAUACCCCUCGCUACGGUUAAGCAUCUAUCUAUAAAGUAUUUUCUAGUAGUGCAUCGAUGGCGGCGAAAUCAGUCGUUCUGCUUGUUUUCCCUACUAGCUCUCUGACGUCCAGAACAAGUUUACGGUCAUAAGGUGCAAUAACCUUGCCUUCAUGAGUGACACGAUGACACGGGAACAGGCUUCCAAGCCUAUGGUGUCGCAUCAUGUCGUGGUCUGCUAGACUUAGUGGACGAAUGCUACUACAAUAUCGGUUGAUCUCAUACUACAAUACCAAGGAAGACACGCAACUACUAUAUAUAUUUCUUCAAGUCAGUCAACACAAGUAAAAUCUGGGAGUUCAACUGGUGCAGCUAUGCAAUGCUAAUGGAGACAACACAAUUCAACUUUAGCACUUCACACAUAAGCAACACCACGUUCAAUGGCACACACCUUAGAGUGUACCUAUGGUGGUUGAUUGGGCUAUAAGAAAUGUGAGUCCAUGUGAAGAUGCCAAAUAUAAUAACACGGCUAAUUACACAUGCAGUGGCAGCAGCAACAAGUGCAUGAAUUCCACAAAUGAUCUAGGGUACACAUGCAACUGUGUCCUUGAGUAUGACAACAACCCUUAUCUUCUAGACAAAUGCAUGGUAUGCUACUAAUUUAUUUGCUAAAUAUUCCAAUGAAUUGUGUCCUUUACUUUGUACAUACCCAAUUAUAAUAUUUUAUUUUGCUAAUACAAUGUAGCCUUCAAUUUAAACCAAGGUUUGCAUCCAUUAAUUAUGUUAGGUUCAUAUGACUUCACUACAUAAAUAGGUAGAUAAUGCAUAAGACUGAGAUUGUAGCUAGGGAUGAAAAUCUAAAUACGGCAUGAAUCUAACAAUUAUGAGUAAUGUCUUUGUGACAAGAACUUUCUUUGUCUUUUAUUCCCAUGUUUGAACUAGUAUAGGUCAGGGUUACACAUUAUGGUGCACAUCACUUUAUUUGUCAUCGUUACAUUGAACACUCAUUGACUAAACAACGAUGAUCCAUCCGUCUUGUAUUACAGGUCUUCAUUUCAUUGGCCACCGAUGCUUGUAAGACUACUCCCAGAUGGUUGUUGUUGUGGAUAUGGUUGUUGAGGUUGGUGUGGUUGCUGGGGGAAUGGUUGUUGGGGUUGCUGGGAAAUUGUUUGUUCUAGUUGCUGGGAUAAUUGUUGUUGGGGCUGCAGAAAUGGUUGUUGUGGUUGUUGUGGUUGCAGGAUGGAGGGUUGCUGGGAAAAUGGUUGUUGCGGUCGUAGGGGGAAUGGUUGUUGUGGUUGUAGAGGGAAAGGUUGUUGUGGUUGUUGAGGGAAUGGUUGUUGUGGUUGUUGGGGGAAUGAUUGUUGUGGUUGCAGGGGGAAUGGUUGUUGUGGUUGCUGGGGGAANNNNNNNNNNNNNNNNNNNNNNNNNNNNNNNNNNNNNNNNNNNNNNNNNNNNNNNNNNNNNNNNNNNNNNNNNNNNNNNNNNNNNNNNNNNNNNNNNNNNNNNNNNNNNNNNNNNNNNNNNNNNNNNNNNNNNNNNNNNNNNNNNNNNNNNNNNNNNNNNNNNNNNNNNNNNNNNNNNNNNNNNNNNNNNNNNNNNNNNNNNNNNNNNNNNNNNNNNNNNNNNNNNNNNNNNNNNNNNNNNNNNNNNNNNNNNNNNNNNNNNNNNNNNNNNNNNNNNNNNNNNNNNNNNNNNNNNNNNNNNNNNNNNNNNNNNNNNNNNNNNNNNNNNNNNNNNNNNNNNNNNNNNNNNNNNNNNNNNNNNNNNNNNNNNNNNNNNNNNNNNNNNNNNNNNNNNNNNNNNNNNNNNNNNNNNNNNNNNNUGGUUGCAGAGGGAACGAUUGUUGGGUCUGGGGAAAUGGUUGUUGUGGUUGCCAGGAAAAUGGUUGUUGGGGCUGUGGAAAAGGUUGUUGUGGUUGUUGGGGUUGCUGGGGGAAUGGUUGUUGUGGUUGUAAGGGGGUCGGUUGUUGGGGUUGGGGAAAUAAUUGUUGUGAUUGCUGGGGAAAUUGUUGUUGGGGUGUGGAAAAUGGUUGUUGUGAUGGAUAUGGUUGCUGUGAUGGAUAUGGUUGUUGUGGAUAUGGCUGUUGUGGAAAUAGUUUUUGUUGAUGGGAAAAUGAUUGUUGAGGUGAUUGUAACUCUUUGUUGUUAGGGUUUAGUUGCCUAGCGGCAAUGGCGGUGUUCAUCGCCAUGGCAAGGAGGACAAAGAUGAGGAAGGUCUUCAUGUUGGAUUUGUGGUUACUACUGCUUGCUUGCCUUUGAUGCUUGUGGUCUAGGUGUGUGAAGUUUUGUUGAUGGAAGGUGUCCUUGGUGGUGCAUGUGUAUUUAUAGUUUUCAUGGCAUGGCUUGCUUUCAUCUUUGCACUCGCUCUUUGAAAAAGUGCAUCAAUGCUUAUCCAACUAAUCAUUUGGUUUGUUGUGUUUGGUGCAACUACUUACUAGUGAGAUUUUGGAUUUUCAUGAUAGUUGUUUUUUGUUGAAAUCAUCUGGUUGUAAGGAAUGUUGGAUAAUGACCAAUGACUCAUCUUCUUCACUUUACACUGCAAACAUUGAUCUAGAUUAUGUCCCUUUUUGAAAUUUAGUUUGUGGAGCUCUACAUGUUGUUAGGCUUAUCCAUAUUGGCAUAGCUUGAGUGGAGCUAAGUUUGUAAGCUUGUGUGCGCCAUUAUGAUGGAUCACACUAUUAAUGUGAUGAUUGUUUUACAAAUUAUCUUUCCAAAACUAACUUUAUGUUUUUUGCCCAAUAUGAUUCUAAGACGGAUAACCAGACAUGACUCAUCAAAUAACAAGAUAAACCGAGUAGCAAGUUGGGGGUUAUAAGUUAUAAUAUGGACUUUUCUCUAAGAUACACCAUCUUGUCUUGCAUGCUCUGUGGAUUUGAAAAGCAUCUACUAAUUUAGAUGCAAUUGAAACAAAAGUAGACUAAAAAGGUAAGCAAUGAAAUGAGAAUACUAUUAUGUGAAGCUCUACAUGUCUGGUAAGCAGUGAGAUACUGGAUACAUCUAUAUCUUCAAUCCUUUCAUCCCUAUCAACUCUUUAUUGGCUGCUUUUAUCGUAGUCAUCCCUUAAAUAAAAAUCACUUAAAUAUAAGUUUGGGAGUUAGUACCAACAUAUAUCAUGUACAAGAUAGAAAACUAAGGCACAUAUAGUAGUCUAUUGACCAUAUUUAAUUUCUUGUGAUGUGAAAGCAUGUGGAGUAUAAGUUGGUUAAAUAUAAAGUUGUCCUUCAUACCAGUAGGGAAAGAAUAUGCAGUAUAAAGAUUAGAGCAUUGGACUAAUAUGCUAUUAAAUGCUACAGGAUAAUUGACAGUUCAAGUUAAGAACAACAUUAGCAUUCCAACUUUUGUCUUGUGCAAGUUAAGAACAUGCUAACAAAGUAACCUAAGCAAAUAAGUGCAAAACCUUCACCUAUAAGGAAAUUGUGAAACUACACAAAAUGACCUAUUGUAAAGAAGGAAAAAAAUCUAAAGGUGAAUGAAAGAACGUUAAGUACAUUCAGGAUUCGAUUAUGCCUUCAUGGAUAACCUUUUAGAUGGUGACAUGUCCAUGUUGAUGUGUGUCGGCAUGGAACGAGGACAAGAAGACGUCGUUGCGUCGUACUUUGGGAAUUUCAUCAAACUGGUUGUGUGCGGGAACAAAUAUUUGUCGCCUCCCUGCUCAAAUCUCUCUUCAUGUCACUGAAUCCGACACUCCACCUACCAAAAUCAGCUGCAAGCCAGGGAUAAUCAACGGGUUUCUCCGCCCGUAGCAUCUAUCACCAAAAGUAGUUCAGACUAUAGUCUUGUAGUUCAAAAUUUUGUAAUAACAAGCACUACUAGGUUGCUUUUGUUUGUACGUCUUCAUUCUGUACAACCCAUGGAACUAAAAAUGCAUUGGUCAUUCUUUGUUCUAUACAACCAAUUCAACCAAAAAUGCAUUGGGCUUUUCUUUGUACAUCUUCGGGUUCUACAACCAAUGCAACAAAAAAUCCAUUGGGUAGUCUUCCAUUCUAGUCGGGCACCAACAGUUAAAUGAGGAGCUAAACAAUGUUGGAGUCUAAAACUACAUACAAUCAUGAAGCAUAGAGAGGCGACUUGGAAGCUGUGCUCCUGUGAGCUCGUAUUUUUGUAGACAAAAAGUAAUGUUUGUAUUUUGAAGUGGGAAAAAAUCCUAAAAAGGGAUGUUUUGCGGGUUAUAACUUACUAUUUUUGGGUCCUGGGCUGCAGGAAGGUCGUCAAAAUCAAUGUGUUUUCCCAUUCAAUGCAUGUUUCUUGGGUUAUAGGUCACGCUUUUGGUGUCCUAGGGAGAUCACUUCCCCGGUCAAGAACAUUAGGUGAUGAUUUUUAGAAAAACUCAUUGUUUUAGCCUAACUAGUUUCGAGGAUUGGUGGACGGGAUUAUCAUGGAACAAAGUGACAACCUUCCUUUUCUUCAUGCCUAAUAUAAACUUAGCAGUCAGCUAAAAGUAACUAGCGAUAUCACAGAAUGUUUUUUGUCAAAAGUAGAUACCACUUCAGGAUUCAACUCGGUUAGUUCAAUCACAGACAUGUUAAGAGCAGGAUUUACAACUAACUGCAUAGGGAACAUCUCCUUUUAUCACCCACUAUCUGUCUGUGCACUUUGGUUUUCCCGUAGCAUCACACAAAGCACUUUGUUAGUACCAAUAAUGUGCUCCAACUCUACACAUUAAUCAUCUUGAAUUCUUCUACUGAUGUCGAACAAUGUAAUAUCUUGAAUUCUUCUAACGAGUUCGGAUUAGACUACAUGGGCAAUUUAUCUGGUCCCUGAGAUGCAAGGUCGAUGAACAAUCGCUUCGUCUUAUGACGAGGGGUUGUUUUUGCCUAAGAAACUAAUACAUGUAACUUCGACACCGGAUUAAUAAAUGGUAAAACCUAAAUAAAUUAGAUCACGAGCUAAACCAUUUACUUUUGUAUGCAUUUAAACUUUUGAUACAUAUGAGCUUGUUAAGAUGUUCGCAUAAACACCAUGGUGAUUUGAAGCAAGACAAAGUAAACUUGAACCGCUUGAGCCACUGACUUAAUAAGAACCUCCUUUCCCGCGGCAGAGAUUGUUUUUAAUACAUCCACUCACUUUGGCCCAUAGUUUGUCUUUGAGAUACUUAAAAGCACUAGACAUAGAAUUGACAAUAUUAGAAGGCAAGCCCAAAUAUUUCACAUUUAGUGUUUCUACUUGGACACUGAGACCACCUUUGACCUCAUUUUUGACAUUCUCUCUGCAAUCCUUGCUGAGAAACACUGAAGGCUUCCUAUUUAUUUAUUCUUGACCUAAAGCUUCAUUGCGUCUUGCCUUGGUCUUGCACUACUUGCGGCACAAUACGCCUUUGGAACUGCCGUUCCGAAUUCAGAGUGCCGAAGGUGGUGUGACGAUGUUGAGAUACCGUACUCGUUCGGUAGUGAUUCGGGUUGAUCAUUCAGAGUAGACUUUGACAAUAGCUGCAAGGACAAGAUUGCAUUAGGGAGCCUUUUAAUUACACCUCGGAGGUGCUCAGCAUCUUCUUGAUGAACAACAUGGUCCUAGUGUUGAAUAAUAUCAUAUGGGGUAGUGCUACAACAACUCCACCACAAGCAUGGAGGAAUUUAGCAAAUUCCAUCAGUACUAGGAGAAAGCCUAGUAGCAACGCGAGGUAAAGGACUACUAGUAGCGCGGGUGCCCACGCUACUACUAGGGUGCUACAGCUAAUUGGUAGUAGUAGCGUGGGUGACACCCUGCGCUACUACCACGUCUGUUAGUAUAGUAGCGCGAGUGUCACCCGCACUACUACUAGUUAUCUGUAGCCCGGGUCUGACCCCACGCUACUACUAACUAAUUAGGAAUUAAAAAAAUAAAUUCCAUCCAUGGUUGCUGCUGCUGGGCGUCAUCGUCCUCUCCGUCCAUGGCUGAUGUUGGUCCUGGAGGGGAUGACGUCGUCCAUGGUGAUGGUACUUCCUCACCCAAAUCGUCCCCACACCUCUCCUAUGCUACUGCUACAAAAUAAGAGAAAACGAUUAGAAGAGGAAGAGAGAUAUUGAGAGGAGUAGGAGGAGCAACUGACCGGUGGCCGCCGGAGUUGGAGCUGAUGCCCGAAACCCUAGACGAUGCCCGGUGACCUGUUGCUUCUUUUCCUGGGACCUCAUGUCCUCACAAGGCCAUGUCUCAGCGAGGAAGUGCAAGUGGUUGCGUAGCAGAUCUGUUCAUCGCCAUUGGUGGCGCUCUGUUGGAUCUUCCUCUCCUUCCAGCAUCGGAGAAGGAGGAGGAAGGAGGCGAAGGUGAGGCGUAAGUCAGUGGCCCAAAAUUUUUAUAUAGAUGAGACUUACUAAGUAAUAACCCCAUAGAAUCUAUCUAUAUAAAGAUAAAGAGGCAAUCGUGUCAGGAAGCGGGUUUUUCUUUGGCCAAAAGGUACUUAGAACUUGGAACGAGCAUGAAGAGAUUAACGAGACUUCUUUCUCUUUUGAGUUUUUCUGGCGGACCUGCCGCGCAAGAUCUUUGGUCUUCCCCUGGAACCGAUGAAAAAAAGUGGAUUGCUUCUUAUGUACUCGCUCAGCUUAAGAUGCUCGCAUAAUCCCCGUGGUAAUUUGAAGCAAUACAUAGAGUAAACUAGAACUGCUUGAGCCACUAACUUAAUGAGAACCUCCUUUCCCGUAGGAUAUAUCAUUUUUUCAAUCCAUCCAUUCACUUUGGCCCAUAGUAUGUCUUUGAGAUACUUAAAAGCAGUAGAUUAGAAUUACCAAUAUCAUAAGGCAAGCCCAAAUAUUUCUCAUUUAGUGUUUCUGUUGGACACUGAGAACACCUUUGACCUCAUAUCUAACAUUCUCUACACAACCCUUGCUGAGAAACACUGAAGACUUGCUAUUAUUUAUUCUUUGACCUGAAACUUGGCAAUAGGUUUGACACAUCUGUCGCCCCUGAACCAUUUGCCUUGAAAAACAGCAGGCUGUCAUCUGCAAAUAACAAGUGGUUAACUGAUGCCACCAAAGGAGCUACUUGGAUUCCAGUAAACUGGGAUGACUAGUCUCUAGAUUUGAGGAGGCCCGAAAGGCCAUGUACUGCUAACAGGAAAAUCAAGGUGAAUUGGAUCUUGCUGCCGUAUACCACGGGUAGGUUUGAGCUCAUCAAGUUUCUUGCUCUUGAAUAAAAUUGAAUAAGAUACAGAAGCUACCAUGCUCAUUUCUAUGGAGGCCCAUUUAACAGAGAAUCCAAAGUUGAGAUUUAUCACCUCCAAAUACGCCCAUUCAACUAGAUUAUAAGCCUUCAUCAUAUCCAAUUUUAGAGUACAAUGGUGAUGUUACAAUGACUUAUUCCUUUUCAUGAAAUGUAAGCACUCGUAGGCCACGAUUAUAUUGUCAGUGAUAAGGCGACCCGGAACAGAAGCCGACUCUUCACUCAAUAUUAUCUCCGGAAGGGCCCCUUUUAGCCGGUUAGCCAGAACUUUGGGUGUUAUUUGUAAAGUUGCAUAGGCUAAUACGACAGAACUGGCUUAGGAAAGUACCAUUUUGUACCUCAUCACUAUCCUCGCCACAAUACAAAGGACAACCAUUGUUACCUCCUCGCCGCAAAUAUCCCAAUGUUUCUCAAAGAAAUGUUCAAAGAAUCCGUCCGGGCCCAAGGCCUUCAUGCGGAACAUUUGAAACAAUACAAUUUAAACCUUGUUGUAGAAUACUUAGCGUCAAGGAAGGCAUUCAUCGCAUCACUGACCUUUACUGGAACCAAGUCAGGAAAUCAUGCAUAUUAGAAACAGUCUCAGAAGUGAAAAGCUCCGAGUAAAACUAUGUUGUGAUCUCUUCCAAUUCCUUAAGAACACUGAUAACAUCACAUUAGGUUGCUACAAUGAUUUGGUCAAAUUAUUCCGCCUUCUCAUCGAAGCCCUUAAGUGAAAGAAGCAUGUGGUCUUGUCCCCACUAAUCAGCCACUUAAUCUGAGAUCUAGUAGGCAAGAUGAGUGACGGGAAGUAGUUCGGAACAAUUUCCUCUUAUUCACUUCUAAAACAAAUUUUCGGUUUUUGUCGUUCCUAAGCCAAGGAUUUGAUAAAUAUUCAUAAAUUUUUAAAAUGUUCACCAAUAUUAAAAACAUCAUGAUUUUAAAAAACCGUGAUUUUUAAACAAAAUCAUAAAUAUGAAAAUUGCCAUUCACAAAAUUUUAAAAUAAAAUCAUGAAUUUUAAAAGAAUUUUCAAAAUUUUGAUAAAUAUCUACGAAUUUUACAACUUUGAUGAAUUUUAAAAACAAACCAUAACAAAAAAACACUAGCAAGUUCGAUCCUAAAAAAUGCCUUGCCUUCUACUAUGCGUAGCGUGCAUGGACAGCCGGACCUAGACACCCUAGACCAAAAACCCUACAUCUGGGCCAGGCCCGAGCUCCAUUUUUUGGCCCAAAGCCCAGCCCAAAAAGGCAGAAAUGGUAAGAAAUGUAUACUUUAUUCAAAAUAUAGGUAUAUUAUAUUGUUUUAGUAUCUCAAAUAAUUAUUUAAAUUGAAAAAUGUCGUUGUUCAUGUGUUUCUGGACGGGCCAAGCCAGGCUCAUGCUUGGGAUUUUUGCUUCGGGCUUUGACAACCUGGCCCGGGGUAUGAUCAAGUUCAGCAUGGCCCAGUCACACACCCUUGUACAACAUUUUGUUGUAGAGAGCGGCAAAUAUAAUUUUCCCGAUCUAAUAUUGCUCGCUAUAAGUCUAUAUCUAUACUUUUUUCUAUACCCAUACUAAUAAAGCAAGGUGCGUUUCCCCAAUUUUUUCAUUCAUUCACUGUCGAAAACAAUUAUGUUUCCUAUCCGAGGUGGUCCUAAAUUCUUAUGCGUUCAUCUGCUAAAAGAAAGGCUUUUCCGGAAUUUCUUACGUGGGUUGCGCGCUAUGGCCAGUGAAGUCAGCCCACUUAUUUUUCUGCCCAUGCAGCUCUAAAAAAUCUAUUUAACACACAGGGCAAGAAAUAGUCGGCACUUCAAACUGGAAAACAAAUAAUGGGCUAGCCAAUUUUUCUUUGUUUCUGUGUUUUAUUUCUAUUUUUAUUCUCCUUCCCCGAUUUCUUUUUUCACUUCCAAGUUUACAUUUCUUAUAGAAUUUAUUUUAUAAAUUCAAAAUUCUCAAAAAACAUAGAGAAUUUUAAAAAAAUGGAAAAUGUUCAUAACUCCAAUUUUUUUGCUAUUUAAAUUUUUUUCAGAACUUGAAUUUUUUCCCUUUUUCCGAAAAUUUUAUUGUUUUUUAAAAUUGUUAGAGAUUUCUAAAAAGAAAAUGGAAAUUUAAAAAGUCUUCCAAAUUCGAAAAAAAAUCAUGUUUUAGUGAAAUUUUCACAACUCAAAUUAUUCUUAAAAAAUACACAUUUUAAAAAGUAAGGAUUUUCAAUACAUGUUCCCGUUCUAAAAAAAUGUUGACAAAUUCAAAUAAUGUUCAUGUUUUUAUUUUAAAAGUUCGUGUUUUCAAAAAUGUUUGUAAAUUCUAAAAGAUGUUCCUAUUUCAUAUUUUGUUCAUGUUUUUCUGAAAGUGUACCUAAUUUUCAAAAAACUGUUCAGGAUUUAAAAAAUGGUUCAUGUUGCCUACAAUAUUGAGAAACUUCAUACCUUAAAAUCUCCUCGAUUGAAGGAACCAUAGAUUGAAUAAUUCAUGGGCCUUCUCUGGUGGACGAUGACGUAGCAAAACUCUUAAAUGCCCUCAAUCAAUGAAUGGAAAAAUAGCGAAUUGAGUACUUCACACCCAGCGAAACAAAGAAGCUAAAUGUUCCCUUUUUACGUGCGCACAGGGUUUUGCUUGCACAAAUAAUUCUCACUAACUUCCAAUGCAUACUAAUUUUUCUCCCAUUGCGAAGCACAAGCAUAUGUGCUAGUUUUAUCCACGGUGGUACUAAAUUUUUUUGAGUCCAUCUGCUAGAAAAAGGAAAAACAGUUUUGUCAAAAUUUUCGUACAUGGGCCGCGCGCGCUGUGGCCCAGCGAAGCUGGCCCAUUUAUUUCCGGCCGAAGCAGCUGAGAAUAAUUAUUUAACGCUUGGGGCGGCAAAUAGACAAAGUUUCGCAUAGGGCGCCAAAUAUUUGGUCGGCCCAUAUUUGUUUUCUCUCUAGUUUGUUUCUUUUUUUAUUUUCCUUUCUCCUUUUCUUAUCUCUUUACUUUUUCUUUUUUCCCUUUCAAGUUAAUUUUUCUUUUCUCCUUUUCCAUAAAUUAAAUUUUUCAAUAUUUCAGAAUUUUAGUUUUGGAUUAAAUUUUCGUAAAAUCUUCAUAAUUAUUUCUCCCCAUUUUGAAUUGUUUUUAAACUAUAAUUUUUUCUUCUUCUUCUUCCAAAAUUUAUUCAAAACUAUAGAAUAAAGUUCGCAUAUUAAUUUUUUUAUGCUUUCCAAAAUUGUUUGAUAUUUUCAAAAUAUAUUGCAUUAAAAAAUUAAAUAUUUAGAUUUUAUUGAAAUGUUAAUUCAAAGUAAUGUUUGUGUUUAAAAACAUGUUUUUCAAAAUUCUUUUCAAUGUCCAAAACACGUUUUCAUUUCCAAAAAAAAUCACGUAUUCAAAACAUGUUUGCUUUCUUAUAAUAGGUUCAUGUUUUCAAAAAACAUAAAUUUCAAAAAAAUUGUCACAUCUUAAAGAAUAUUCAAAAUAUCGUAAUUAUUACUUUAUUUUUUGAAAAAAAUCAAGAAAAACAGAAAAAAAAAUGUAUAUUAUGCUACAGUAUAUUCUUAAAAUUUCGCCCUCGCCAUUUGUUAGCAUGAGCUGUUUGUUCGAGUGGCUAGCAGCACGUGGUCGAGUUUUUGAGGUCAUGAGUUUGAUCCUUCAACUCAGUGGUUGUUUUGGAUUUUUAUUCACGCCUUACAAAUACAAGUCAUUUUGGUACCUGCCAGCGGCCUUGCCAGACUCGAACUGCCGUGCAUCCGACGUGCUAUUUGACGAUAAAAGAGAAUAUGUUGCUUGACUAUAAUUAAAAAAAUGUGGGCACAUGCCAAUAAAAGAGGAUAUGCUGGUUUGACUCUGAUUAAAAAAAUGUUGGCAAGUGAGCGUCGAAAUAAUUAAAGAGAAUAAACCCUGGUAAAGUAGGGACUACCUGGUUACGUGCUUAUUAUACCAAAGAAACGGGAUUUCCUGCAAUUAGUACUUCAACCGGUUACACCAUCAUAGGAGAGAGUAGUCGAAGCAACUAUGCCACGAAGGUCGCCGUGCUGCACAAAAUGAGGAGGCAACCGCAACCUAGACACGGAGGCAGACUCGGAGAAAAAAAAGCGCAAGUUGGGUGGUGGCCACCACUCCAGCAACCCCAUCAAUAUCAAGAACUCGUGGGCCAAACAUGAUCUCAAGAACAUCGCCGGGGAGACCUUUUGAUGGACACAUCAAUUAUCUCUCCUGAUACUUCUCGUUAAAAAUAUCUUUCUAGUUCUAACGCACGGGCAUAUGUGCUAGUGAUAUAUAAAAUAUGUUGUGCCAAUGAGCACACGGGCUAGCGAGACUCGCCAUGCUUUCAUGUCAUACCGGAGUCCAAACACUCAACUGGAGGGUCCAACCUUAGCGACAGAGUCUUCUUUUGUUGGGAGAAUCUAUAUAUCCGCGAGUGUUAUAUCUCGCAUCUGGUUUACGCGCAGUGCACCUAACCACUAGGCUUUGCCUUACAUUCAUGACAGAGUAGUAAAGCUAGAUUGUUUAAGUCCACACGAGUCAAGGUUUUCAAUGUUUCUUCUCCAUUUUUUUUCAUUUUUUCAUUUUUGUUUUUAUAUUUAUUUCUGUCGGGUUUGUUUGAUCCCUUUCGAGGGCAUAAUAGAGGAACCACACCGUGGUGAUGUGGAUGGGUUUAUAGAUACCAUCACUGUAGGGGAAACGAGGAAGGUUUUCGAUGCACGAAUCACUAGCAUACAUUUUCAUGUUUUACGCUAAUUUGCAAUAUUUGCUAGUCGUUGCUUAAUUGGUUGCGGAAACUGUGGAAACCUUAGUGUUCCUGAUAUUAUUAUUUUGUUCCACGGUUUAUUCUGUGAUAACUCUAUUAGUAUGGGCGGUAUUAUUCCUAAAUGGUUAAGUCUGAACUGUACAAAGGGCCCCAUCUUUGGAGGCAUCUAUGCUUCACACCUAGCUGCGCAUUUUAACAUAGCUAUUAGGCAUUAUGAGAAGGAAGAAAAAUUGCUACCCCCUGUUUAUUUAGAUUAUAAUAGUAUGGUGGCACAUGAUUUUAUUGUUAAGAAUAAGGAAGGGGAGCUUAAAUACAAAUUGUUCUUUGAUAAACAUCAUCCUGAGACUAUUACCCUGCCUGCUCCUUCCUUGUUUGAUUUAUCUGCAGGCAAGUACCUCGUUCCAUUAGAGGCUAUUCACGCCUACCGAAACCCUACAUCAGCCAUAGAGCCAGAGUCGGAACCACAAGUUGAUUCUCCAUGACAGUCUAAUUACCAUUGGGAUCCAGAAAUGAUUGCCACCAGUGGCAAUCAGAGUCUUCUUCGCAGUACGACCCCAACUAUUACUAUGGAUAUCCGCCAGGCCAGCCGUGGCCAUAGACCAACUUAGGUCAAAAGCCUAAACUUGGGGGAGUACGUAUUUCCCGCCGACAUUACAUUCAUGUUCGCACACUCAUUGCUAGAUGUCGGUGCUCAUACUUUUUCAUUGUAUCAUCCAUACUAGUUCAUUUCCUUUUUAAGCUUUCUUCUUGUGUGUUUAAUAAACCUUAAGAAAAACCAAAAACAUUAGUUGUAGCUUUUAGCUAGUUUUAAUUUCCAUGCUCGUAGUAGUAAUUAAAAAGAAAACCCAAAAAAAAGAUUUCAUGUUCUUCUUUUGCUUGUUGGGAGCUUUCCCGUGUAAAUAGUUUUAUUUCUUUUCUUUUCUUUGGGGGUCGAUAGGAGAAGACCAUGAUUAAAUUGUUGAAGUGGCUCUUAUAUGUAUUUUUGUUGAUCUGACAAAAGAGCCCAUAUUGCCUCGACUUCUCCUGUUUAUUGAAUGCUUGCAGAUUCCAGCUUAGUCCAAUGCACGUGCACUAUUAUUAUUAUCCACAUCAUUCGGUCGUGCAAGUGAAAGGCAAUUAUGACGAUAUAUGAUGGACUGACUGAGAUGAGAAAAGCUGGUAUGAACUCAACCUGUCUUGUUUUUGUAAAUAUGAUUAGUUCAUCGUUCCUGAUUCAGCCUAUUAUGAAUAAACAUGUUUGCAAUGACAACUAGAGAUCAUAGUUUCUUGUGCCAUGCUUGAUUAGCUAGGAGCUUAUAAUGGUUUACCUUGCGUGCCAACAUGCUAUUAAAAUGGUUGUGAUGUGGUAUGAUAGGGUGGUAUCCUCCUCUGAACGAUUCGAGUGGCUUGACUUGGCACAUAUUCACGCAUGUAGUUGAAACAAAAUCAACAUAGCCUCUACGAUAUUUAUGUUCAUGGUGAAUUAUAUCCUACUCAUGCUUGCAUUCGGUGCUGAUUAAUUUUAAUGCAUGUUUAUGACUGUUGUCGCUCUCUAGCUGGUCGCUUCCCAGUCUUUUGCUAGCCUUCACCUAUACUAAGCGGGAAUACUACUUGUGCAUCCAAUCCCAUAAACCCCAAAGUUAUUCCAUAUGAGUCCACCAUACCUACCUAUUUACGGUAUCUACCUGCCGUUGCAAGUAAAUUUGUAUGUGCCAAACUCUAAACCUUCAAAUAAAUAUCAUGUUUUGUAUGCUCGAAUAGCUCAUGUAUCAACUAGGUUUGUCUGUAUCUUUCAUGUUAGGCGGGUUAUUCUCAAGAGGAGUGGACUCCGCUCCUCACUCGCGAGAAAAUGGCUGGUCACCCGGAUGCCUAGUCCCAUGCUUUAUGCAAAUCAAAUCAAAAUAAUUGCAAACAAAAUUGCCCCUGGGACUCUUGUUAGUUGGAGGCACUCGUUGUUUCGAGCAAGCCAUGGAUUGAUGCUUGUUGGUGGAGGGGGGGUAUAAAAUUUUCCAUUCUGUUUGGGAACCGCCUAUAAUGUGUGUAGCAUGGAAGAUAUCACCAUCUCUUGGUUGUUAUGUUGACAAUGAAAGUAUACCGCUCAAAAUAUUAUUUACCUCUAUUUCAAAAUCGAGCUCUGGCACCUCUACAAAUCCCUGCUUCCCUCUGCGAAGGGCCUAUCUAUUUACUUUUAUGUUGAGUCAUCAUCCUCUUAUUAAAAUGCACCAGUUGGAGAGCACCGUUGUCAUUUGCAUUCAUUACUAUUAUUUUACAUUGAAUAUGACUUGACUGGAUCUCUUUUACCAUGAAUUACAAUGUCUAGUCAGUCCUUGAUCUUUAAAGGUGCUCUACAUUUAUGUUUUGCGGUCUCAGAAAGGGCUAGCGAGAUACCAUCUUGUUAUAUCAUAUCAUGAUUGUUUUGAGAAAGUGUUGUCAUCCGAGAUUUAUUGUUAUUGCUCGCUAGUUGAUUAUGCCAUUGAUAUGAGUAAACAUGAUACAUAAAUGUUAUUGGAAUAUGGUUAGUUCAUAAUCUUUGCUGAAAACUUGAAUGCUGGCUCUACAUAUUUACAACAACAAGAGCAAACAGAGUUUGUAAAAGUUUUUCUUUAUCACUUUCAGUUUAUCAACUGAAUUGCUUGAGGACAAGCAAAGGUUUAAGCUUGAGGGAGUUGAUACGUCUCCGUCGUAUCUACUUUUCCAAACACUUUUGCCCUUGUUUUGGACUCUAACUUGCAUGAUUUGAAUGGAACUAACCCGGACUGACGUUGUUUUCAGCAGAAUUGCCAUGGUGUUAUUUUUGUGCAGAAAUAAAAGUUCUCGGAAUGACCUAAAAAUCAAAGGAGAAUUAUUUUGAAAUAUAUAAAAAAUAUUGGAAGGAAGAUCCACGUCAGGGGGGCCUCCACCUGUCCACGAGGGUGGAGAGCGUGCCCUACCCCCCUGGUGCUACCUCUUGAGCACUGCGUUGGUUUUCCCUUGAAGAGGAAAGGGUGAUGCAGUAAAGUAGUGUAAGUAUUUCCCUCAGUUUUUGAGAACCAAGGUAUCAAUCAAGUAGGAGAUCACGCUCGAGUCCCGCGCACCUACACAAACAAAUAAGAACCUCGCAACCAAUGCAAUAAAGGGGUUGUCAAUCCCUUCACGGUCACUUACGAGAGUGAGAUGUGAUAGAUAGGAUAAGAUAAUAUUUUUGGUAUUUUUAUGAUAAAGAGAAAUAAAGAUGCAAAGUAAAAUAAACAGCAAUAGAAAUAACUAAGUAUCACCUGGGCGCACCCCCCUGCCUCGUGGACCCCCUGACGCUCCACCGACCUCAACCCUGACUCCAUAUAUUCACUUUCGGGGAGAAAAAAACCAGAGAGAAAGAUUCAUCAUGUUUUACGAUAUGGAGCCGCCGCCAAGCCCUAAACUCUCUCGGGAGGGCUGAUCUGGAGUCUGUUCGGGGCUCCGGAGAGGGGAAUCCGUCGCCAUCGUCAUCAUCAACCUUCCUCCAUCACCAAUUUCAUGAUGCUCACCGCCGUGCGUGAGUAAUUCCAUCGUAGGCUUGCUGGACGGUGAUGGGUUGGAUGAGAUUUAUCAUGUAAUCAAGUUAGUUUUGUUAGGGUUUGAUCCCUAGUAUCCACUAUGUUCUGAGAUUGAUGUUGCUAUGACUUUGCUAUGCUUAAUGCUUGUCACUAGGGCCCGAGUGCCAUGAUUUCAGAUCUGAACCUAUUAUGUUUUCAUCAAUAUAUGAGUGUUCUUGAUCCUAUCUUGCAAGUCUAUAGUCACCUACUAUGUGUUAUGAUCCGGCAACCCCGAAGUGACAAUAAUCGGGACCACUCCUGGUGAUGAUCGUAGUUUGAGGAGUUCAUGUAUUCACUAUGUGUUAAUGCUUUGGUCUGGUACUCUAUUAAAAGGAGGCCUUAAUAUCCCUUAGUUUCCGCUAGGACCCUGCUGCCACGGGAGGGUAGGACAAAAGAUGUCAUGCAAGUUCUUUUCCAUAAGCACGUAUGACUAUAUUCGGAAUACAUGCCUACAUUACAUUGAUGAAUUGGAGCUAUUUCUGUGUCACCCUAGAUUAUGACUGUUACAUGAUGAACCGCAUCCGACAUAAUUCUCUAUCACCAAUCCAUUGCCUACGAGCUUUCCAUAUAUUGUUCUUUGCUUAUUUACUUUUCCGUUGCUAUUGCUAUCAUCACUAUAAAACAACAAAAACAUUACUUUUGCUAUCGUUACCUUUUGCUACCGUUACCACUACUAUCAUAUUACUUUGCUACUAAACACUUUGCUGGAGAUAUUAAGUUUCCUGGUGUGGUUGAAUUGACAACUCAGCUGCUAAUACUUGAGAGUAUUCUUUGGCUCCCCUUGUGUCGAAUCAAUAAAUUUGGGUUCAAUACUCUACCCUCGAAAACUGUUGCGAUCCCCUAUACUUGUGGGUUAUCAUUGCUCCUGCAGCGGGUCUUGCACCUAGCGGUGCUUCUAGGACGUAAUUCUUCUGUGUAGCAAUGAGGAUAAUUCUCAAGUUAUGGACCCAGUCCGUGUAGUUGCUACCAUCAUCUUUCAACUUAGCUUUCUCUACGAACGCAUUAAAAUUCAAAGGAACAGUAGCAGGGGCCAUUGAUCUACAAUAACAUAGACAUGCAAAAUACUAUUAGGUGCUAAGUUCAUGAUAAAUUAAAGUUCAAUUAAUCAUAUUACUUAAGAACUCCCACUUAGAUAGACAUCCCUCUAGUCAUCCAAAUGAUCACGUGAUCCAUAUCAACUAAACCAUGUCUGAUCAUCACGUGAGAUGGAGUAGUUUCAAUGGUGAACAUCACUAUGUUGAUCAUAUCUACUAUAUGAUUCACGCUCGACCUUUCGGUCUCAGUGUUCCGAGGCCAUAUCUGCAUAUGCUAGGCUCGUCAAGUUUAACCCGAGUAUUCUGCGUGUGCAAAACUGGCUUGCACCCGUUGUAUGUGAACGUAGAGCUUAUCACACCCGGUUAUCACGUGGUGUCUCGGCACGAUGAACUAUAGCAAUGGUGCAUACUCAGAGAGAACACUUGUACCUUGAAAUUUAGUGAGAGAUCAUCUUAUAAUGCUACCGCCGUACUAAGCAAAAUAAGAUGCAUAAAGGAUAAACAUCACAUGCAAUCAAAAUAAGUGAUAUGAUAUGGCCAUCAUCAUCUUGUGCCUUUGAUCUCCAUCUCCAAAGAACCGUUAUGAUCACCAUCAUCACCGGCUUGACACCUUGAUCUCCAUCGUAGCAUCGUUGUCAUCUCGCCAACUAUUGCUUCUACGACUACCGCUACCGCUUAGUGAUAAAGUAAAGCAAAAACAAGUGUGAUGUCCUCUACUUUGUUGUUGCAAGUUUUACGUGGCUGCUACGGGCUUCUAGCAAGAACCGUUCUUAUCUACGCCUCAAAACCACAACAAUUUUUCGUCAAGUGUGUUGUUUUAACCUUCAACAAGGAUCGGGCGUAGUCAAACUCGAUUCAACUAAAGUUGGAGAAAUAGACACCCACUAGCCACCCGUGUGUGAAGCACCUCGGUAGAACCAGUCUCAUGAACGCGGUCAUGUAAUGUCGGUCUGAGCCACUUCAUCCAACAAUACCGCCAAAUCAAAGUAAGACGUUGCUGGUAAGAAGUAUGACUAUUAUCGUCCACAACUCAUUGUGUUCUACUCAUGCAUAUAACAUCUACGCAUAGACCUGGCCCGGAUGUCACUGUUGGGAAACGUAUUAUUUCAAAAAAAAAUCCUACAAUCACGCAAGAUAUAUCUAGGAGAAGCAUAGCAAUGAGCGGGGAGAGUGUGUCCACGUACCCUCGUAGACCGAAAGCGGAAGCAUUUAGUAACACGGUUGAUGUAGUCGAACGUCUUUGCGAUCCAACCAAUCCAAACACCUAACGUACGGCACCUCCGCAUUCAGCACACGUUCAGCUCGAUGACAUCCCUCGAGCUCUUGAUCUAGUUGAGGCCGAGGGAUAGUUCCGUCAUCGCGAUGGCGUGGCGACGGUGAUGAUGAAGUUACCGGCGCAGGGCUUCGCCUAAGCACUACGACGAUAUGACCGAGGUGUGUAACUGUGGAGGGGGGCACCGCACACGGCUAAGAGAAACUUGUGUCUUUGGGGUGCCCCCUCCCACGUAUAUAAAUGGAGGGAGGAGGCCGGCCCAAGGGGGGGCGCCACAUGUGGGGAGUCCUACUAGGACUCCCUUGUCCUAGUAGGAUUCCCCUCUCCUUUCCUUUUACGGAGGGGGAAAGGGGGGAAGGAGAGGAGGGGAAGAGGGAAAGGGGGGCACGCCCCCUCCCCUUCCUAUUCGGACUCCACUUGGGGGGGACGCGCACGCCUCCCCCUUGUGGGUUGUCCCCUCUUCUCUCCCAUGGCCCAUAAGGCCCAUGAUUUCCCCCAGGGGGUUCCCGUAACCUCCCGGUACUCCGAAAAAAUUCCCGAAUCACUCGGAAUCAUUCCGAUGUUCAAAUGCAACCUUACAAUAUAUGAAUCUUUACCUCUCAACCAUUUUCGUGAUCUCAUCUGGGACUCCGAACAAACUUCAGUCAUCAAAUCACAUAACUCAUAAUACAAAUUGGCAUCGAACGUUAAGUGUGUGGACCCUACGGGUUUGAGAACUAUGUAGACAUGACCGAGACACAUCUCCGGUCAAUAACCAAUAGCGGAACCUAGAUGCUCAUAUUGGCUCCUACAUAUCUACGAAGAUCUUUAUCGGUCAAACCGCAUAACAACAUACGUUGUUCCCUUUGUCAUAUGUAUGUUAUUUGCCCGAGAUUCGCUCGUCGGUAUCCUCAUACCUAGUUCUAUCUCGUUACCGGCAAGUCUCUUUACUUGUUCCAUAAUGCAUCAUCUGGUAACUAACUCAUUAGUCACAUUGCUUGCAAGGCUUAUAGUGAUGUGCAUUACCGAGAGGGCCCAUAUAUACCUCUCUGAUACACGGAGUGACAAAUCCUAAUCUCGAUCUAUGCCAACUCAAGAAACACCAUCGGAGACACCUGUAGAGCAUCUUUAUAAUCACCCAGUUACGUUGUGAUGUUUGAUAGCACACUAAGUGUUCCUCCGGUAUUCGGGAAUUGCAUAAUCUCAUAGUCAUAGGAACAUGUAUAAGUCAUGAAGAAAGCAAUAGCAAUAAAAUUAAACGAUCAUUGUGCUAAGAUAACGGAUGGGUCUUGUCCAUCACAUCAUUCUCUAAUGAUGUGAUCCCGUUCAUCAAAUUACAACACAUGUCUAUGGUUAGGAAACUUAACCAUCUUUGAUUAACGAGCUAGUCUAGUAGAGGCAUACUAGGGACACUCUGUUUGUCUAUGUAUUCACACAUGUACUAAGUUUCCGGUUAAUACAAUUUUAGCAUGAAUAAUAAAGAUUUAUCAUGAUAUAAGGAAAUAUAAAUAACAACUUUAUUAUUGCCUCUAGGGCAUAUUUCCUUCAGGAAGAGCAUUGCGGGUGGGAGGGAGAAGGGGAAUUAAGAGAGUGUAGGUUUCGGUUUGGGCCUCCGCGCGCUAUGUGUACACAUGUGUUGGUGGGUCAAUAGUAGUGGCGCCAGGUUUAUACCCCACACUACUACUAUGGCCUAUCCCGGGGGUACGAUAGAGACCACUUAGUAGUAGCGAGGGAUUUAUACCCCUCGGUACUACUAUCAACUUAGUACUAGUGAGGGAUUUAUACCCCUUGCUACUACUAUCAACUUAGUAGUAGUGAGGGAUUUAUACCCCUCGAUACUACUAUGGCCAGUCCCGGGGGGCACGGUGGAGACCACUUAGUAGUAGUGUGGGGUUUAUACCGCUCGCUACUACUAUCAACUUAGUAGUAGCGUGGGUUCUAUACCCCUCUCUACUAAUAAUUAGCAGCAGUGUGGCCCAUAUACCCCUUGCUACUGUUAAGCAUCUAUCUAUAAAUUAUUUUCUAGUAGUGCAUCAAUGGCGGCGAAAUCAGUCAUUCUGCUUGUUUUCCCUACUAGCUCUCUGACGUCCAGAACAAGUUUACGGUCAUAAGGUGCAAUGCCCUUGCCUUCAUGAGUGACACGAUGACACGGGAACGGGCUUCCAAGCCUAUGGUGUCGCAUCGUGUCGUGGUCUGCUAAACUUAGUGGACGGAUGCUACUCCAAUAUCGGUUGAUCCUAUACUACGGUACCAAGGAAGACACGCAACUACUAUAUAUAUUUCUUCAAGUCAGUCAACACAAGUAAACUCUGGGAGUUCAACUGGUGCAGCUAUGCAAUGCUAAUGGAGACAACACAAUUCAACUUUAGCACUUCACACAUAAGAAAAACCACGUUCAAUGGCACACACCUUAGAGUGUACCUAUGGUGGUUGAAUGGGCUAUAAGAAAUGUGAGUCCAUGUGAAGAUGCCAAACAUAAUAACACGGCUAAUUACACAUGCAGUGGCAGCAGCAACAAGUGCGUGAAUUCAACAAAUGAUCUAGGGUACACAUGCAACGGUGUCCUUGAGUAUGACAACAACCCUUAUCUUCUAGACAAAUGCAUGGUAUGCUACUAAUUUAUUUGCUACAAAUUCCAAUGAAUUGUGUCCUUUGCUUUGUACAUACCCAAUUAUAAUAUUUUAUUAUGCUAAUACAAUGUAGCCUUCAAUUUAAACCAAGGUUUGCAUCCAUUAAUUAUGUUAGGUUCAUAUGACUUCACUACAUAAAUAGGUAGAUAAUGCAUAAGACUGAGAUUGUAGCUAGGGAUGAAAAUCUAAAUACGGCAUGAAUCUAACAAUUAUGAGUAAUGUCUUUGUGACAAGAACUUUCUUUGUCUUUUAUUCCCAUGUUUGAACUAGUAUAGGUCAGGGUUACACAUUAUGGUGCACAUCACUUUAUUUGUCACCGUUACAUUGAACACCCAUUGACUAAACAACGAUAAUCCAUCCGUCUUGUAUUACAGGUCUUCAUUUCAUUGGCCACCGAUGCUUGUAAGACUACUCCCAGAUGGUUGUUGUUGUGGAUAUGGUUGUUGAGGUUGGUGUGGUUGCUGGGGGAAUGGUUGUUGGGGUUGCUGGGAAAUUGUUUGUUCUAGUUGCUGGGAUAAUUGUUGUUGGGGCUGCAAAAAUGGUUGUUGUGGUUGCAGGAUGGAUGGUUGCUGGGGUUGGGGCUGGGGAAAUGAUUGUUGUGAUUGUUGGGGUUGCUGGGAAAAUGGUUGUUGCGGUUGAAGGGGGAAUGGUUGUUGUGGUUAUAGAGGGAAAGGUUGUUGUGGUUGUUGAGGGAAUGGUUGUUGUGGUUGUUGNNNN